AUUUUUUUGUAGUUUAUAGGUACUUAUCUUGAGAAAUAUUAAUGUUUUUUAUGGCUUUUUUGGUUUCCUAUAAAAUACUUUAUCAUUCUAAAUUAUAUAUAUAUAUAUAUAUAUAUAUAUAUAUAUAUAUAUUUAGCUAUUGUUGGUAUUUCUUAAUAAGUUUGUAAAUAUAAUUUGACCUAUUAAAGAUGGUACCAAAUUAUAUAAUGCAAUUGCAUUAUAUUUUGUCAUUGGCUUUACAUUUGCUAAAACUAUUGAUAGUGAAAAAAAAUAUUGGUUGCAACAUAUAUAUAUAUAUAUAUAUAUACAUAUAAAAUUUGAACUGAAACAAUAGUUAGUAAAUCUCUUCAUAGUGUGCUAAUAUUUACAAAAUAGUCACUUGUUUCAAAUAGAUUUUAAAAAAAGGAAAUAUGACUUUAGAAAAGUAUGCAAUAAUUCCCUACUAAUAACUUAAACUAACUUGAAGGACUCCUAUUGGUACAAGUGGAACUUUCAAGAAAUUUGGACUUUUGUAAGCUUGAAUUUAUAACAAAAAUGAAAAGAGGAGUAGAAGAAGGGAUGAAUGAUUUAAAAAAAAUAAGAAAGGAUUAUGAAAAUUAAUUGGGUUUCAACAACCUUUUUAAGCAAUGUAGAUAAUAUUGUUUUAAGAAUUUGAUUUAAAAGUCAUAUUUAUGAAAAAAAAUUGCUAGCAUGUGAAUUUGCAUUACAACAAGUUAUUAAAAAAUGUUAAUAUUUUAUAUUUUCGGUGUAAGAAUAGAUCAUGUAUUUUAAAAAUAAAAUACUUAUUUGACAAAAACAUGAAAUAUAGUUGAUAAAUUUUAAAUCAAUCAAAGGAUUUAUUUUAUUAUUUUAAUAUGAAUUGAUUGUAAACCUCAAAAGUCUUAUAUUCUUUAUUUGAUCAUUAAUAUUCAUAUUAUUUAAGAUCAAAUAAUAAAAUAAUGAUUGUCAAAAUUUUAAAUUUGUUGCAUAUUUAUUUUAAAAGUAAUAAUUUAAUGAUUAAUUACUGCAAAACAAAUAAGCUUCAAGAAGUUUUCAUAUAAUUUUUAAUUUAUAAUGAAAUUUUACUUUAUAAAUAUAUAUAUAUAUAUAUAUAUUGUUAUCAGUGCAUAUGGUUGAUUACAACUAGCUUUCUAUAAAGAAAUUGAUGCAUAUGUUUUUUUUUAAUGAUUUUUUCCAUAGACUCUUCCAUUUAAAUUUUAUUUUUUAAUUAAAUAAAAUAGUUGGUGAAUUAUUUUGUUUAAAUCAUCUGAAUGUAUCUUAUAAUAAAUUAGAUUUUACCUUUAAAUUUAUAUAUUUUUUGAAAUAAAAAUCAAAUUUUAGUUGAUUAUUUAGAUACAUAAGUUAUUUAUCUAAACAUAGGAUAUUGUUAAUGCCUCCAAAAAUUUUGCUACUGCCAUCACAAUCUUCCAUUCAUCACAUACUACCUACACCCUUUGUCAAUGCUAUCUAGCUAUAAAUCUACAUAUAUAUAUAUAUAUAUAUAUAUAUAUAAAUAUUCAUUCACACUUGCACAAAUUUGCGUUAAUAAGGCAACCCAACAAACUCACUAAAAUGAGCAAUGUAAGGUCGAAUCCUUUGCCAGAGAGUCAAGGACCGUGCCACAUCAGCUCAACACUUCGCCCACGUCAGCCACUCUCAAGGAGGGCCACGUCCUUCUCCGCAUCUACCAUAUACGCAAUACCGCCCGCGUCGAAGCGUAGACUCUUGAAAUGUUCAUAACGCGUAAUUAUACCGAAGAGUCUGGUUUUUGUGAAGCCUCCUGCUCCUUCUGCUCCAUUGCAAAGCCAAACCCUUGCAGCAGCAGCUCGAAACCCACGAUCUGGCGAUGGUUUGAUGUGCUUGCAAUCCCCUUCGACCACGCUGAUAAGCUCCGCCCCCUGCUGCUGCCUCUUCAUUCUCAAGUGGGUUUCCGUUUAUUUUCCCGCAUUCUCUAACUUGCAGUGUGUCGUUGUUUUUGAAAGUGUUGGUAGUUUUGCGAGGUCAAUGGUGGAAACCUUGUGUGCGGGAAUUUGGAACUUGGGUGUGGAAUUGAAUUAGAGUGUUUUUUUGUUUUUUUUUUUUUCGUGUGUGAAGGAUAAGGGAAGAAAGAAUCGGAGAGGAGUUUUUGAAGCUAUGACGAUGGGGUCAUCCCCUGCUGCGACAGUGUUGGUGCUUGUAAUGUGCUGCUUGCUGUGUGGAGGAGGAGCUGCUGUGGAGGGAGGGCUCAUUGUGGAGCUCGUGACGCCCUCGGUGUCCCUUGGAUCCGAUGCGCAGAAGCUUCAGGUGUCUGUGACCUCGUCCGAUGGGUCGCCUGCUCCCGCUGCUACAGUGGCACUCGCUUCCGUUCACUCUGUCGCGUCUGAUUCUCCAGUUUCGAUCUCCGAGCAGAGCUUUGCAUCUAUUGGAGAUGGUAAGUAUGAAUUGGGGCUUUCGUCAAGUGACCUCUUCUUGGGGAAGUACAAGCUCCGGAUUGAUGCAUCAUCGGACGAUGAUAAGGGUUUCCUGGACACUGUGAUUGCCGUGACUGCCCCCAUUUCGGUGUCCAAUGUGAAGGUUGGUGUAGUAGAGGGCGAUAGCGUCCUCCCUGAGUCGGAUGCUAGGUUAGAGUUUAAGCAGACGACGACAUUGUCGGCAACCCACUUACAGAAGCUCAAACUCGCAUUUGAGGUCAGUGGUCCAUCCGGUGCUCUGUUCAAACCCCAGCAGGUUAUGCUGAAGCUGAGAGGCGAGAGUGGCGUGGAGCAGACUUUCCUCAUCAAAUCUUCGACAGGAAACUCUUACGAGCUCACUUUGGACUUCACAAAGUUGGUGGAGAAGCUGAACCACCAAUCGGGUGUUUAUACUGUUGACCUAAUCGUCGGUGACGAUGUCAUGGAGAACUCAUUUUUGUGGACUUUGGCGUCUUUGGAUCUGGACUUGCCAGAGGGCCCUGAAGGAGCAUCAUCCGCACCCGUCUCCAAAUUUGGUCCCAAGCCUGAGAUUUCUCACAUCUUCCGUCAGCCCGAGAAGAGGCCUCCGACGUAUCUCUCGAUGGCGUUCUUAGUUCUGACCUUGCUCCCACUUGUAGGGUUCUUCGUCGCCCUCCUGCAACUUGGCGUCAACCUAAAGAAUCUUCCAUCCGGCGGAUUGCCGCUAGCUGCCGCUGCUGGGUUCCACGGUGGUAUUGCAAGUAUCCUGGUUCUGUACCUCAUGUUCUGGUUGAAGCUGAACCUAUUCACGACGUUGCAGGUGCUUGGAUUCCUAGGUUUGUUGACUCUCGUGCCUGGGUUUAACAUUCUUUCCUACUUGGCAAACCUUUCGUCAGCUUCCAAAGUGAAAACGUCGUAGUGACACUGCCGCUUAGUUUUGGGCGUAUGGAAGUGGUUCAAUGGACACGUGUUGGAUUUAUUGUUGCCUAAGAUUUAUACUUUGAGCCCAGUUUUGAUGCCUUGUAGAUCACUAUCUGUAAUUUGGAGCUCUUAGAAAAAGUACAGAGGACGUGCAGUUACUGCUUACCUUGCGCUCCCUGCCUUCAUAUGCCCUGUCCCUUCCUGGUAAAAUGGAAUAGAAUUUGUCAACUUCAGAGCAGUAACACUCGUUUGAAUGCAUACCUUGAUUGCUAUGUUUCAAUUGACUGGGUGCUUUGUACAUGUCGUGACUUAAUGAUCCGAGGCUGCAACAUCUAUUUUCGCUAUUCCAGAAUAAUGCAAAACGCAGGAAUGAAGUGUGGCUUUUUAAUGGUAUAUCAGCCAUUAGAAGGUGGGUGUGAUUUGUGGCAUUUGAAAUGCUUCGACAAUGUGGCAUUUGAAUUGCGGUGCAUUGAAGCUGGUAACUAAACAUGAGAGUCGAGCUCUCUUGUCCGUGUAGGACUAGACACAAUUGUAACUUUCAAAGGUGGGAGUUCACUGGAUAUGGGAUUUUUUUUUCUUCUUUUUCCAAAGUUAAUCCUGCUGAUUCAAACUGUUGUUGUUGUUUUUGUUUAUAUAUAUAUAUAUAUAUAUAUAUAUAUAAAUAAUAUUUUUUAUAAUUUUUAUAAUUUUGGUUUUUGAUUUUUCUUGAUGUUAAUGACCAAAUACCUCGGAGUGCCUUCGCUUCUAUAAUUCGUCAUCAUCUCUUUCGAUGGCCAUUCCAUACGAUUUGAAAGUGGUUAAAUGUCUUUUUAUUUAUUUUUGAUUUAUUUAAUUUUUUGUUACUCCAACAUCCAGAAUUUGACAACAUAACUAAUUUGUCAUUGUAUUUUUAGUGUUAAUAUUAAUGAGCAUUUGGGGUAGGGCAGAGUAGGUCCAAUUAUUGUAAAGUGACAAGCAUUGCAAUAUUCAGAUUUUGUAGUUGUAAAAUUAUUUUGUAUGUACAUAAUACAAUAUAUGAAGCUUAAAAAUGGACAAACCAUAACAUUGGCAUGUUGUAUGGACAACUUAUAUUGUUUGAAAUGUAAGGUGGCAACAAGGAAAGUGACAAAUGUAACAGUUUCAAGUGAAGAUGGAAGAAUGUUGUAGCAUCAAUACACUGGACACUUGAAUAUACAAAGCUUGAUUGCACUUUUGGAGGUUGUAAAUAGGAUAAAUCUCAGCCACCAACUUGAUUUUAGACCUUUUAUUUGUGAGCAUUGUUUGUAGGGGAAAAAAAGAAAAGAAAAAGUAAGAAAAGAUGUUUAUUCCAAAAUGCCAAAUGUGUAUUUGAAAGGUAUUAGAAAUGUAAAUAAAUAAAAUCUUCAUUUUUAUUAUUAUUUUGAUAUUUAUUUUAAAAUUAAAAUAUUGUAUUUAUUAAAAAAAUAUAUUUCACUUGUCAAAUACAAGAGUAGAUUAUUACAACUUUUAUAAGUAUUAAAGACUAAAUAGAAUAAUUCUAUUAAAUAAUUAUUUUUUUACUAUUGAUAUCAAUACUACUAAAACAACAUAGAUAAACAAAAAUCUCUACAAAAAUUAAUUUAAAUAUUAUUUAUACUCUUAUUACAAAUAUAAAAAAAAAAGUAAUAAAAGACAAUACUUUAUACAAGCUAAUGUCACUCUAAAUAUGAUGAUAUAUAAUUUGGAAUUACAAAUGUCUUUAUAAUCUUUUAUCAUAUAAAGUGUCAAAAUAUGAGUUUGUAUGGUCUGGUUAAAUAAUGAUGAAUUUAUGUACACUUUAGAAGAUUAAAAUGAAAUUAAGAAUAAUAUAUUUUCAAAACAAGAAGUUGCUAGAAGUACUAUUGUUAAGUGCAAAAGAAAAUUUAAGAUUCAAAAGAUAAAAUUAGAAUAUCUUAAAUUGAGAAUAGGAUACAAAAAUAGAGUUGAUUAAAUUGAUGAUGGUCUCAAUCUUAUUUCUAUGUAUACUAGUUAAUAAGAAAACCAUGUAAAUGCUUUGAAGAAGAGUAAGACUCAUAUAUUGUCUAAGUUGUAGAGUACCUUCAUAGUUGCAUUCAACACAAAUAUUUUUUUUGAAAAUACUUUUAUAGCCACAUGCUAUAUUUAAGUAUUCCUAUAGAUUUACCACAUGUCUAAAAGUUUCUUUAAUUCUUUUUUGACUAUAAUUCUUCGUAAUUUACAAAUAUUGACUUAUUUCUAUUCAUUUCUAUUUUCUUAAGUAAAAUAGGUGUCUAAAAUAAUAUUAUAUAACCAUGUCCAAAUUAAACUUAUUACUAUUUAAGUUGGAUUUUAAAUAAGCAUAUGAUUUAAUUAUAAAAGACUUUAUACAUAAAGCUAUUGUGGCUUUAGAUUCUUGUACUAAAUUCAUGGAUUCAAGAAGGCUAAUAUUUACAUAUAUUAAAUCAAUGGACAUUGUUAAUAAAAGAAAACUUACUAAAGAUUUGAAAUUCAAAAAAAGAUAAAUAAUAUAUUUCUUACUAGUAAAAAAAUCUAUAAUUUAAUUAAUUUUUAAAAAUGAUAUAAAAUAUAAUAAAAGAAUUAAUCUCUAUGAAGAAAAUAUAGAAUUUAGUUAACCUAUAUGUAAUAUGUCUUUUAUAAAGACCUCAAAUAAAUAAAUGAUAAAAAAAUAAUAAUAGAAUUUUGUUUUGAAUAAUUGAAACCAAUAGAAUAAUAUAACAUAUAAACAAGAAAUAUGAUCUUAUUUGAAAUAAAAUGAAUAACUUAGAAUAGACUCAUCAAAAAUGAAAAUUUUCUUGACAUAAAAUUCCAAAAAUAUCUAGCAAAUGCCUUCAAAAGCUUGCUAGAAUAUGACUUAAAACCAAUACAAUAGAACAUUACAUAAAAAGAAUCAUGUUAAGUGGAACUACUCCACUCCAAUGUUUGUAAUUCUUCCUCUAAACUACUUACGUAUAGCUUUGAAUCACAAACUUGAAGCCACAAUGUCAAAAUCUUAUUUAUGUAAUGCAUGAAACAUUAGCAAAAUAAUACACCUCUGUAUGUUUCAAAAAGGAUCAUCAUCUCAAGCUUAGAGUUGUGCCCAUUUCUGCCACGGUCAAAAUUGUUGCAAAAUGCCUGAAUUUCAUGUGAAUCCUAGCAGCAUCAACUUGAUUUACUAAGGGAGUGAUUAGUGAAAAAUGAGUUGUAAAUUAGCACAACGGAUGUGGAUUAUAAGUGGUAGUCAAUUCAAUGGGAGUGAGUUACGUUUGACUUAGGAACUUAAACAUUUAAGUUAACCAUUUUAAGCAGGGAGUUGUCAGAAUUGACAUGAAACUAUGUGGAAUUGGCACUUCUUCGCUUCUGCAUUCGGUAUUUUGCAGCUUCUAAAUGGAUACGACGAAUGCUUUUCAUUCAUAUGAACUUCUAGACUAUGUGCACGAAAAUGCAUCCACCUUGAUGCUAAUCUAUUUCGAGCUAGUUUCUGUGAGAAGAUUUGAGAUCUGUUUUGUUUUUGUUGAGAAUGUUUAGAAAGACACAAGAGUAAUAGUAAGUCAUACACACACACAAGAGUAGUAGUAAGUCAUACACACAAGAGGGUUUCUAAGGAGAGAGAGCUUCACACACAAAAAUCUAUUGAUCUGGUUGUGUCUCGUAUACAAGAAGAGAAAAAGGAGAGAUGAUAAACAAUACUUCUCCACUAGACUCUAAAUACUGUAGCUAUAGUAUUUACUGUAUUCUACAAUAAAUAUUGUGGAGAGCGCCGGCCAUAUUUAAUUAUCUCAACACUCUUCCUCGCUCAUUAUAAUAUUUACAUAAUAUAAAAUUUGUAUAGAAUUAUGAUUUAUACUCUUCUGUGAUCUUGCAAGAUUAACAAUUGUUGCCUCAUUAAAACCUUAUCUAGGAAAACCUUAUUUUAUUUAAAGACAAAACCAUAGAUGAAGGAAAAAGAAUACAACAUCAUUUUCUUUAAUUAUUUAAAGAGCUCAAUAAUUUUCUUAUUCAAGAAGAGUAAGUCGCCACAUAUCAAUGCCAUAAGUAAGUCGACGAUGGUUGCUUAAUGGAAGAGCUUUGGUAAAGAGAUCAACAAGGUUAUUUGUAGAUUCAAUUUUCUUAAUUAUAAGUGCAUGAUCAGUAAUCAAGUCAUGGAUAUAACUAAAAUACUUUCGAUCAAUAUGCUUUGUCUUAUCGCCUUUAAUGAAACCAACUUGCAUCUGUGCAAUACAAGCACUAUUAUCUUCAUGCAAGAUAGUUGAAGAAUCAUCAUAUGAAAAUCCAUAGGUUGUUUGAAUGAAUUUAUCAAUUGAUCACAACCAAAUACAUUCUCGAGAUGCUUUAUGUAAGGCAAUAAUUUCUGCAUGGUUGGAUGAAGUUGCAGUCAUUGUUUGUUUCACUGAUUUUGAUGUUAUUGCAGCUCUAUGUCUUAAGAAUACAUAUCAUGUUUGAGAUUUAGCUGUUGCAAUAUCAGAUUUAUAUCCUGCAUCACAAUAUCCAACGAAUUUUGGAUCUGCGGAUUGUGUAUAGUAUAAUCCCAAGUCUUUAGUACCUUUUAAAUAAUGUAAUAAAUAUUCGAUGCCGUUCCAAUGUUGUAGUGUUGGAUGUGCAAUAUGUCUUGCAAGAACACUAAUUGCAAAUGCAAUAUCUGGUCUUGUAGAUGUAGCUAAAUACAAAAGUACUUCAACUGCUGCGAGGUAUGGAUAUUGAUCUUCCAAUAUUUCCUCCUCCUCUUCGCAUGGGCGGUAUGAAAAAUGACCAUCACGACCACGUCCAACCAUUGGUAUGGACAAUGGAUAAGCAUCAAUCAUAUUAAAUCUUUGCAAGAUUUGUCUAAUAUACAUUAGUUGGUAGAGAAAAAUGCUACCAUCUGUUAGAUGCAUAAUCUGAAGACCAAUACAAAAAGUUAUUUUUCCUAGCAUUUUCAUCUCAAAUUUACAUAUAAAUAGGUUAGUAGCUGUAACACAUGCAGAUGUAAUGCCCACAAGAUUAGGAUCAUCAACAUAUACAACGAUGAACACAAAACAAGUUUUAUCUCAUUUGAUAAACAAACAAGGGAUUAAUGGAUCACUUAUAAAAUUAUUUGUAAUUAAAUAAUCUCGAAGAUGUUGAUACCACAUGCAUUUGGAUUGUUUUAAACCAUACAAGGCCUUACAUAAUUUAAUACUCGGAUAUUGUCCUAGAGCAGGUCGAUUUGGAGUUCCUGUUUCUAAGCCAAGUAGAACUUUCAUGUAAAUAUUUGCAUCAAGAGAACCAUAUAGAUAUGUAGUUACUACAUCCAUCAGAUGCAUCUCAAGGGUGGCAUGAACUGUCAUUCCAAUAAUAUAUCGAAAUGUAAUUGAAUCCAUGGCUGGAGAAUAUGUGGAUUCAUAAUCAAUGCCAAAUUGUUGAGUAAAUCCUUGAGCAACAAGAUGAGCUUUAUAGCAGGUUAUUUGGCCUUAAACAUCUUGCUUGCAUAUUAAUACCAUUUUAUAUCCCACAGGGCGAGAUGUAUGAGUGUCUACAAUUGGACCAAAGACUUUCUUCUUGCGCAAAGAGGCAUACUCUUCCUCAAUAGCAGUUUUCCAUUUUGACCAAUCUGAGCGACGUAUUGCCUCUUGGAUGGUUUGAAGUUCAGGAUCAUUUUCCUCGCAAGAAAGGGCUUCUAGAAUCAUAUAUGCAAAUGAUUCAUCUACCAUAAUAGAUGGUCUAUCCCAAAUAUCAUCUGUAAUAUAAUAUAAAAUAGAUAAUUCUUUACUCAACUUGUUCUUAUUUCUCCCAAUUCCAAGCUUAUUUUUCAUAGGAAUUGAAGGUACAUUAUGCAUGGAUAUAUCAUCAUGAAUUGGUAGUCCUCCAAGAUGUGUGGAAAUUUCUUGAGAAAUAAUACCAGGAUUAGUCAAUUUUAUAGCUUUCUUCUUUCGUGGUUGCUUAACUAGUCCAUGAGUUCUUUUAGUUGUUGUUGUUAUAACUUGAGGUAUUGUAGUUAAUGGCACUGCAAUCUGAGCAAGUGCAUUCUAAGCUUCAUUGAUAGGAACUCUUAUAAUUCUAGGUGCAUCAUUGAAGCCAUCAGGUGUUUCAUCUGCAAUCUAUUUUAGAUGCAAAAUCUUAGCAACUUCAGUUUCUGCCAAAGAUGUUAUAAGAUCGGGAUUCAUUAUAAACGUUUCUUGUGCUUCAAAUAUGAGUACUUUAUUUCUUUGUUGAAUGGAUAUUCUUCCUUGAAGAGAUGGGAAUACAUUUUCUUCAAAACGGUAAUUUUGCAAACGUGCACGUAAUAAUGUGCCAGUUGAUGGAUCAACAAUACGAAUAAUGCUUGGUGAAUCAAAACCAACAUAUAUGCAUUCUUGUCGAUGAGCUCCAAUAGUACGCCGUUGAGGUUUUGGUACUGGAAUCCAAGCACGGCAACCAAAUACUCAUAAGAGAGAUACCUUUGGAACACAAUCCAAAAUGAGCUCAUGUGGUGAAAAAAUUUCAAGAGAAGAAGGGUGGAGGCGUAUUAAUGCAGAAAACAUGUAAAACUGUAUGACCCCACAUAGAUCCAGAUAAAUAUGCAUGAAGGAGGAGUGGCCAGGUAAUGAGUUGUAUAUGCUUUAUAAAUGACUCUGCAAGUCCAUUUUGAGCAUGUUCAUAUGAAACACAAUAUGUUAACUCGAUUCCUAUUACAAUACAAUAGUCUUCAAAAGACUUUGAUGCGAAUUCUUUUGCAUUAUCCAUAUGCAAUGUUUUUAUAGGAUAAUCAAGAAAAUGUAUCCGAAAGCGAAUAAGCAUAGAUAUAAGAUUAGCGAACACCAUGUUUUGAGUUGAUAAUAAUGAAACAUGUGAUUGUUUACUUGAUGCAUCAACAAGGACCAAAAAAUAACAAAAUGAUCAUGAUAUUGGAUUAAUAAGACCACAAAUAUCACUAUGUAAUCUUUCAAGCGUUGGUGGUAAUUCUUGUGGAAGUUUCCAAAUUGUAGGUCGAGUAAUCAUUUUAUCUUGCAUGCAUGCACGACAUAAUUCCAUAGAAUCUACAUCUGCAGGCUUUAAAUUGUACCUAGUUAUACAUGGAAUGAUAUUUUUAAAUAAUGUGGAUCUUGGAUGUCCCAAUCGUCCAUGCCAGAGAGAAAUACGACUCUUUGAAAUAGAUGAUGCAAAAUUAAAUAUAAUGGGAGGCCGAAUCACAAUUCGGUAUAAACCAUUUUCUUUAGCAAAAGCUUUUUCAACAACUUUAUGGUUCUUUGCAAGAAUCAAAACCUCUUUUCUAUUAAAAGUGGCGGUCGAGAGAUAAUAACCAUUAAUACACAGAUCUUGGUAGCUGAUUAGACUCUGAAGUGUUGAGGGUGCAAACAUCGCAUGUUUAUAUUUUAUGAUGGAACCCGCAGGUAAUUUUACCAUCGUUGUGCCCUCUUGGAAACAAAACGCAUUUGCUCCAGCCACGGUCAUCAUAUUUUCAUUUUGCCAAGUUGAAGAUUUUUCAAUAAAAAAUCGUCUAUCUUACAAGAUAGUAUGUAUUGUUGUAGAAUCAAUGAGUACAUCAUUUGAUUCAUCAUGAGAGGUUCUAUCAUUUAUAUAAGCCUCUAAGUCAUCAACAUCAAUUGAAUCCAUGGAUGCAUCCAUAGUAUGAACUUCACGAGCCUCAGCUCGCAAUUUCUUAUUUUCUUAGAAUAUUUUAAUAAAACAUUCUGAAGUACGGCACGCAUGUACUAAAUGUCCAAUCAUUCCACACUUAUAGCAAGAACGCAUCUCUGAUUUUUGUUUUCUACUAUAAUUAAUAGUAGAACGUUUAUUCUUUCCAUAUAGGUAGAAAUGGUCAUGACUAUGACUACCAUAAUACUUAUGAGCACGUUUUCCAUGUUUAUAUAAUUUCUUCUUAGACUUUGAAAUAUUAAGUGCAUGAGAUUUUGGAACUGUAGUUCUAAUAGGACGAGCUUCCGCAUUGCACAAGAGUAAUUCAUUUUGCUUCUCCACAAGAAAUAAAUAGAAUAUGAGAUCAGAAUGACUCUGAAAUUUCAUGUUCCUGUAUUGUUGUGCAAGCACAAUAGAUACAUGAAGAAAUAUAGAGAGAGUUUUCUCAAUCAUUUCUUCUUCAGAAAUGCUUUGUUCACAUAAUUGUAAUUGUGAGACAAUACUAUACAUUUCACUAUUGAAAGCAUUUAAAUUUGGAAAAUCCAAGACACAUAAAUGUGUCCAAUUAUGAUGUGCAUGUGGAAGAAAAAUGGUCUUUUGAAGAUUAAACCUAGAUUUAAGAUUCUUCCAAAGUUCUCCAGGAUCUUCCAUUUCCAAAUAUUGAUGUUGUAAUACAGCUACAAGUUGACGACGAAAGAGAAGAAGUGCUUUCCAACGAAUAGUAGGAGGUAUAGAAAUACUUAUUGUAGGAGAUUCUUCAAACAUAAUGACAUCCGAGAGUUGUUCUGCAAAUAAGUUUGCUUUUGUCAUUUUUUCCCAUAAUAGAUAAUUGUUUCCAUCCACAGUCAAUGGUGGAAAUAAAAGAGCUUGAAAAUGUUGGGAUGCACUGGUAAUAGUUGGAACCAUAGUAGAAGCAGUUGAGGAUGUUGAAGCACUCAUUAUAAAUAAAUCUGUAAAGAAAAUACAAGAUCAAGUAGAAAAGUUGAGUAAAACGUACCUUAAAAUAUAAAAUCAAAUAAAAUGAUAAACUUGAACUUGAAAAAAAAAAAAAAAAAAAAAAUAUAUAUAUAUAUAUAUAUAUAUAUAUAUUUUUAAAGAGGUUGUAGAUUAAGGCAACAGAACAGCAAUAAGAUGGUGGCAGCAGGCAGCGGUAAUGUGGCAGUAGGUAGCGGUAAGGUGGCAGCAAUAGGGCAAUAGGGUGACAGCGACGGGCAACGGCAAUGACGGGUGACAGGGUGGCAGUGGCGGCAGUGGCGGGUUUGGUGGCUGUUUGGUAGCAGGCGCGGGGCACAGUAGGGAGCAAGGAGCAAGCUAAGGUGGAGUUGGACUGGAUCAAGUAUUCUAAGCAAGCAGGGCAGAGAGUGGAACAAGUACUCUAAGCAAGCAGCUAAUGUGUGAGGGGCCAGCAAAAAGAACAAGAUCAUGAGGCAAACAUUGAGCAAGGGUGGCAACAAGUUUGAAGAGUCAAGACUAGAGCAAAAAAAUUGUGAUAGUGUGUAGAAGAGAGUCAUGCUGAUAACGUGUUGAGAAUGUUUAGAAAGACACAAGAAUAAUAGUAAGUCAUACACACACACAAGAGUAGUAGUAAGUCAUACACACAAGAGAGUUUCUAAGGAGAGAGAGCUUCAUACACAAAAAUCUAUUGAUUUGGUUGUGUCUCAUAUAGAAGAAGAGAAAAAGGGGAGAAGAUAAAUAAUACUUCUCCACUAGACUCUAAAUACUAUAGCUAUAGUAUUUAUUGUAUUCUACAGUAAAUAUUGUGGAGAGUUCCGGCUAUAUUUAAUGAUCUCAACAAUUUUAUGGAUUUUCUAAAAGGUGUAGUUUUGACAUAAAACUCGGUGGCUUUUACUCGAUUGAAGCGCAGUAGAGAGUCCGGUGGAAGUGAAGAGUGACAAUGGAACUCAGACUGGUCAUGCUGCAAUUUUAGAACCUCGUUGCUGAAACAUCAUGUGUCUUGAGAAACCUUACGUGGAUCGAUCUAAACAAAUAAACCUUGUCAAUCUCACAUACUGAAGCAUUUUUUUUUAUCAAUUCCACAACAAGCUUUGGCUUUUCCUUUGCUUGUGGAGGUCGGGGUAGAGCUUGUGUAAUUCAUUGUAAUGGGUUGUAUGCUCUGUAUGUAAUAUAUAUAUAUAUAUAUAUAUAUAUAUAUAUAUAUAUAUAUUUAUUGUAGGAUUUGAAAAAGAUGAUGGAUUCAUUUCUAGAUGUUAUGUUUUGCACAAUUUGUGUUUGUGGAGAGCGGUAUUUUUUGAAAUAAGAAUUUGUUUUGUAACGUGAUCAUGGUCAUAAAAGAUCCCACUUGUGUGAUUAUUCACAAAUGAAGUUAUUUGUCAAAGUGAUUUAGUACAUAGUAUUUUAGAAAAUACUAUAUAUAUAUAUAUAGAUAUAUAUAUAUAUGGAUCAAUUACAUAGUGAUCAUAAUAAAUUCACAAUUUAAAUAUUAAAAAUAUAAAAUCAUAUUUUAUGAACUUGGUUACAUAAUGGUUGAUAAUAAUAUUUCAGUUGAAAUACAAACUUCUAAAUCCUAUUCAAGAAACAAUUUAGUAAAACACAAUUAUUUUUAAUUUAAAAUAAAUAAUUAUUUUGAUAAUGUAGUAUUCGACUAGAAUAAUCUGAUCAACAAUUGUGGCUUGUUUUGAUCAAUUUUUGUUAGUUAUUAAAAAAUAGUAAAGGAACAUAUCUCUUUAUAAUUUCAUGACAAUGAUUUAAAAAUAGAAAUAUUCUGAUAUUCAAUCAAUUCUUGGUAUUUUUUUAAUAAAAUAUGCUUGUAUUAUUUUAUUUUAAAUAAUUUCUUUGAAUAAUGUUGAUGUAAAUAUUAGUCUACGAUUAAUUAAUAAUAAAACACAUAUUUAUCUUGCACAAAAUUACUACAAAAAACAAUAAAAAGAGGUCAAAUUUGACUUCACAAGUGUUUCCAACAAACAUACAAUAUUUCAAAUUAUAAUUUAGUAUUUAAUAGCACUUAUUUAGUACAUUAAAAAGAAAACCAAGAUUUUAUUUAAAAAUGAGAAAAUUCCCAAAGAGAUUUGUGCCAAAACUUACAAUUAAUUAUUAUUAUUAUUAUUAUUAUUAUUAUUUUUAUUUAUAUUUUUCAUACAAUGUUGCUAUACAAAAAAUUACUUCUCAAGUUUUAGAAAAAUGUUUUUUGGAAUUUUUAUUUGAAGAUUGUAGCAUGAACUUCAAUGUUUGGAAUCUCAAGUAAAAUAUAUCUGUAUAUAUAUUGUUAUCAGAUUUUAAAGAUAAUCAAAGAAUAUUUAAGACACAUAUGUAAAAAAAAUAUUUUAAGCACAUAUAUUUAUUAUUAAUUUCUUAUUUUACCUAAUAUUUUUUUGAAUUUUAUAUUUCUUUAAAAGACUGAUUUUAUGAAUUAACACAAAUUCAUUCUAACAACAAGAAAUUUUAAAACUCUUUUUGCAAUGAUUUCAAAAUUUUAUAUUAUCUAUUGUAAUUUUUUUAAAAUUAAAUUAAAAGAAGUUUUAAAUUAUUUUAAAAUGACAUAAAGUAAUAUACUAUAUAUAUAUAUAUAUAUAUAUAUAUAUAUUAAAAUUUAUGAAAGAUAUAAGAUUGUUCACCUCCUUUAGUGAUGAUGUUAUGCUAGAGCAUUCAUCCACUUUUUUGUUUUUUUUAAAGAUGUAAUAUUAUCUUAUUUCUUUGACAAUGACAUCCAGUUUUAAAAUACAUACAAUUAAAAAUAUAUCAAAUAUGUAAAGUUAUCCAAGUUCUUUGGAAAUGUUAUGAUGCUAAUGUAUCCAAACUUUUAUACACAAUACAACCAUAGAAUAUAUAUUGGAAUGUUAUUCAUAAAUAAAUAGAUAAUUGUAUAAUACUUCUUCACAAAGUAUAAAUCCCUCUAUUUUUUUAUUUUUAUUUUAUUUUAUUUUUUUUGUACAUGACCUAUAACUUCAAACUUAUCAUUCUACACAAAAGAUAUACAAGAAGAUUCACUUACGUACCAAUAAAAAACAAACAAACAAACAAACAAACAAAAACUAUCAAACAAACUACAUAAUCCAUUACUAUUACAUCUGUAAUUACAAAAAAAUAAACAAAAGAAAAAAAAAAUCAUACAAUCUUUAAACAUCACUUUUGACAAAAACACAUAUGAAAAACCCAACGUCUCAAAAUUUCUAUUAUAUCAUUUUUGUGAAUACAAUUAUGGUACAAAUAGUUCCAAAAUUUUAAUCCAAAUAUAUAUCUACUUGUUUUGUUUGUACAAGUAAACAUGCAUGGAAAUUACCAUCACCUACUAGCAAUGUUUUUGGCAUUUGGCAUUGGUAAGGGGGAAUAGGGUUUGGAAGGACCGGCGAAGGUGUCAGAUCUCGUCGGUAAAUUUGUGAGUUUGGGUGUCAAUAUCCGACUCCGAUUGCUGCUUCGAGGACGACGUCGCCGAUUGCAGAGCCGAGACGUCGGCGUGUCUGAGAGGACUCGAUCGCCCUGCGCUGGAGCAGGUGCGCUUGUCGAGCCACAGAAUUAUGUCCUUGAACACAAGCUCGAUGUUGUCGUCAGGCUCGCCCGCUGUCAAGCCGUGCCACAUGCCCGGGUAGAGCUUGAAUUCCUUGUCGCUGCUUUUGGAGGCUUGGAAUAGUGCGCGGCUCACGUCCGGGUCUGUCACGCGGUCCUCCUCGCCAUGGAGCAACAGAAACGGUAGCACUACCUGGUGAUCAAUCGAUUGAUUCCACAAAAUGGGUUAUUGAAGAUUCAUGGGUGGGUUUCGAAGUUUGCAAAGAGGACUGAUUGAUGACCCUCGACACUGCAGGGAAAGCACAGAAUGGGCUUGGAUCGUGUUUUGUUACCUCGUCCAAACGGUUCUCGAGAUCCUCGCUCGCCCUGACCAUCUCUAGAGCUGUCUUCACUCUUGGCCGGCCUUGAUAGAUUAGUGGGUUUGCGCGAAUCUGGUUGGGAAUCGAUUACUGUGUAGUUAGUACUAUUGCGAGAUGAACCAGAUUAUGAAGAUAUUUGGAAGCGUAUGAGUAUUGAUAGAUUGGUACAAGAGAUGGGUAACUUGUUGGGAAAUUCGGCUACCUCCUCCCGCUUGAUCGGAUCUUUGAAGGCGUUGUCGAUAAUGUUCGCAGCCGGCACAAUCUUCCAGGUCGGUAUGUAGCCAGCGAGUUUCGUCAGGAUUGAGGUGACGAUCGAGGGUGGCUUCACACUCUCCGAGAUUUUACACAUGGGAGCUUGCAAAACAGCGCCGGUCCACUCGACGGGCUCUUUGCGGUGGAUGUGGAGGGCAAUCGCUCCACCCAUGGACUCGCCAUACAGGAAGUGUGGCAUGUUUUGGUUCUCUUCUAGAUCUGUUGGAAUCAGUAUCAUCGUGAUCUCAAUUCCAGUGUAUUUCUGUACCGUCGAAGCUUCAUCAAUCACAGGUUCCACAAGUAAAUAACGUGAAAGAUAGUUUAUAGUCGAAUACGUGUAUGUACCUCGUAUGCUUUUGAAGAAAGCGAUGGAGUCGUCCACUAGCGCUUGGAAGCUCUCCACAUAGCACCGCCGGCCUUCGGACUUGCCGUGGCCUUCUUGGUCAAUGCCGAAGACGGCGUAGCCUGCUUGCGCAAACCGGAUGCCGGUGGCUCUCAUGAAGACGCUGCAUUCCAUAGCGUAACCUAGCAACGUGACCGCGCAAAAUCUAUUGUUAGGACAGAUAACAGAAAAAACUGUCCAGGUUGAAGGUCCAUGUUGGUUACUCUAGAAUUCAAAUAAUCAAUCUAUCAAUCAAUCAAGUUGGGGAGUCUAUGUGUACCAUGACACAGGAAUAUGAGUCCCUUGAUCGUUUUGUGUACCGGCAGCCAUCGACACGUAAACAGCUUUAGUCCGCGCCGCUCAAAGUAGUCCUGGAAAUCCACCACAUCAUUUCGCUUGAGGUCAAUCUCUUGAACACCCAAAACUAACAAUUCUAGGUUAGUAGCAUCUUCAUCUGAACUUCUGUCUCAAUCGCGAGUAAAUGUGCUAAGCUGUAACAGUAGCAGCCGAAGCAUUGAACUAAUCGCUGUAACCGUAUGACUACACAACUAAUACAGAACUAUUGCCUCUGCAGCAGAUUUGUAUCUGCUAUGUUCCAUGUUCCAAGUAAUGUUUCAUGCUUCCCUGGAGAAUUGAGCAACUCUGGUUGGACAGAGACCCUAAACUCAAAUCUCUACACACAUGCAAAUGAUUCAUCAACUGUAGAAUUGUUUACACGGUUGCAUAGGUGAGAGUACCUCUUCAUAGUGGACAUUCUUGUCCGCUAAAACUUGAGCUUCCUGCAUUCAGAAACAACCCACAAGGGGCCGAACAUUAGUGUUACAACGUCACAAUGAAAAGAAUAACACUAAUUAUCAAAUAAAAAAACAAUUGGGAGAAGGAGAAACGCCUAGUAAGGAAGCGAGUAACUCAUGUAUAUUUCUUAGAAAAAGAAUCUAUUUCACUAAAUUUUUGUGAGGACCAAAGACACAAAACGUGUGCAAUUGAGAAUUCACCGAUUUCAGAAACAAAGUCGAACUACAGGUUCAACAUGGUUCAUGAAAUCAAGAGUGAAAUGUCGCCCCAACCAUUCAGUUAGGUCGCGUGUGCGAUCAUCAUUCUGGAGCUUCUAAUUUUCAAACCUAGUAGAAACUCUAACAAAUUCAUGCACAGCAUGUCGUUCAAGAUCGAAUCCCUUCCGAAUCCACCAAAAAACCCGCGAAACUCGACCCCCGAAGACCGCAAAGGAACAAAACAACCCUAACAUUAGUCGAAGUGACUGAAUUCAGAAUUCUCAACGGACUCAAACGACGUCGCACUCACCAUGACAGUUGAAGUAGCAGUUCUGAGGUCUAUUCUCCACACAAGCGAUCACCCAGAAGCCUAGCAAGUAAUCCCCGACUAGAGAUGACUGCAAUUCGAUUAGUGCUCAACCGAGUUCGCGUCUUAGAAGUUCCAACUUGCAGUUAGCUUGAUCACCCACAAGCAACCCUUCUCCUAUAAAUAGAAACUCCUAACUGGAGUAACUCGAGAAUAUCCCUAUCUCCACCGUUCCGCACUACUCUCAUCCCGCCCAAAAAGCCACUUAUCUCGCGUUUCGCCCCCAAAAUACCAGUCAACUGCUGCCCUUUGAAGUGAGAAACGCAAUUCACAGGUUUCGACCUUCACAAAAUUUCCACGCAAUCUGCUCUGAAGCUGACCAUCUCGGUCGCAUCUACAAGCAAAACCAGUCCACAAACGUCGCAUGUUAGAUGGGUACGCAUGAGCUGUACGGAAUGUCAUAGACCUCAUUCUCUCCACUACGAAAACCAUUGUCUGGAAUUGGUGCUCUACCAACUACCAAUCGCAACGCAAUCCAGUUAAAAACUUCAAGAGUUAUUUGUCAGUGGCGUCGAAUAACACGCAAACGUGGAGCUAGGCUACCAGUAAACAGUACCCAAUUUUCCAACGUGGUCUACAAAAAGCUUGGAAGUCCGCGUGACAACCUGCAGCAGCUCUGGUGUGUGUGGGGUGCAGAUGAUUGUUUUGAGAGUGAGAAGAAGAGUCAAUGAUGAGAGACUACUUUUGGGGAAAGAGCAAAGUAUUUGGUCACGCACAAGCGAAAUUCAGAUCAGACGAGGAUUCGUGGCUGCCCGGCGGCAAAACUUUAGCAGUGGUAUCUAGCUGGGUCCACCUCAUAGUGGGGAAGGUAGUGAAUCUUCUUCACUAGAUUCAUGCAUGGUAUGAGCUGAUUGUCUAAAGCAGACGACUGAUGUUCUUGCACAAAUUUGGAAACUGUUUCAAUACUCUCUGAGUCAGGCAAGUGGUUGCAGUGUGUAAAUAUUCACACACAUACACAUAAUUUUUUUAUUUGUUAUUUUCUAUUUUAAACAGAAUCUAGGUCUGUCAUCUUCCACGACAUGAAAAGUCGAUUGACUCCGACAGCUCUUAUCGAAGCUCUUUUGAUGCGUAUACAUCCAGCUUUACAAGAACUCACUGGUUGAGCGGGCAGUGAAGAGGUAGCUGCGGCAGAUAAAAUGCAGAUAGUUUGUUACUCUUCUCUCUCUCUCUCUCUCUCUCUCUCUUUUUUUAUUAUUUUAUUAUUUUAUUAUUUUUUCCCCCCCCCAAGAACUUUCUAUUUAGACUGAUUGAACUUAUGCUGAAUAAAUUACAAACGUUCGCCAUGUUCGGCCAACUUAUUAUCGGAAAACCAUUAUAAAUCACUUGCCCAUGUGCAGAGAUCGCCCGAUGAGCAUGCUCUGCGACACGGUCGUGUCACCAGUGCGCAGUUUUUGUUUCAGCUGCAGUCCCGUUGCGCAACUUCUGAGCCUCCGUGGGUCCCUAACGCACGAAAACUCAUAGUAAAGCUGGCAAUGAGCUCCGGUACAAAGGCAAAUCAUUUGCACUGUGGCUGGAUACUGCUGGUCGCACUGGAAGAAUAAUUGAUAAGGUGAGGAGUUCGUUUGAGGGAUAGUGCCCACGUUGCAUCUUAUGCGACAAUGAGUGAGCUGCCGCAGUAACAGCAGCAGCUUGGGGUCCUACACACACAUACACAUAUAUACAUACAUACAUACAUACACACACACACACACACACAUAUAUAUAUAUAUGUAUAUAUUACACAGAGACACUACACUAAAGUACAGUACACUACUCACUGCACUACUCAGUCAAUUGCAUUUGGAUGUGCCAAGCAAGCAAGCGAAGCGAAGCAAGGCAGACACAUACGCACUUGCACAAAAAGAUGCAUGACCCCGUUGCGUGUCCUUCCUUGUGCUCUCUCUCUCUCUCUUUUUAUUUUUCUUCAUUUUGUGCUCCAUUCCUGUCUUGUCCUGUCCUGGCCAAUGCAACUCCUUCUUUUCCUUUUGUUUUGUUUUGUUGCCUUUCCAUCAUCGAUGUGUGUGUGUCUCUGUCUAGAGACCCAUCUCGCGUCGUGGAUCGCGACGCCAAUCGAUGAGCUCCGAGCGUGACACGCAUCUCGUUCUCUCCUCUUUUUUCCGUACUUUCUUAUUACUUUUUUCUUUCUGUAUUUCAGUUGCUACUUUUUGGAAUCGAAAGAGAGAGUCAACCUUCGUUAUUGAGGAUACAUAAAUACAUAAUUUGUGUGAAAAUAUAUGUAUAUGUAUAUAUAUAAUAAUAUAUAUUAUAUUAUAUUAUUAUAUAUUAUAUUGUUUUGUUUUAUAAUAUAUUAUAUAUAUAUAUAUAUAUAUAUAUAUAAAUAUAUAUAUAAUAUGUUUCUAUUACAUGUUUCAAUCGAGUGUGGUGGGCGAGACCCAACCACUUGCUUGGGUCCUGUAGUUGAUCUGCUUGGAUAUUAAAAAGCUUUAGCAAUUGAUGUACAUGGUAAAUUAUUGUACCACAAUCAUAUAUAUAUACAUAUUUAUAUAUAUAUAAAUGUAUAAAUGUAUGUUUUUUAAAUCAAAUUUAUGGGCAAAGAGUGAUUUGGAAAUAGAACCCAAUAUUUUAGAAUUGUGAUUAUGUAUGAUGGCUAAGUUUACUUUUUUAUUCGGAACACAAUAUCUAUUGCAUAAGUAUAGUAGUUUGUAGUGCCAGAUUAUUGGAUCUUUUUAAAUGUUCAAUGUUAGUUUUACUAGUUACUUUUUUAUUUGAAUUUAUUAGCAAAAACAAGAGGAAUUAAAAUAAAGAGGUUGAAAAGAGUAUUUUUGAAAAAAAUAAUAUUGAAUGAUGAAAGUAGGAAGAUACUUGGGAAGAACUUAUUUGAAAAAAUUAGUAUUUACAAAUGAGUGCAUUAUAAAAAAAAAAUGUUAAUUCUUUUAAAUAAUAAUAGGAAGAAAGAUCCACCAAUAAAAUUGAAUACUUUUCUAGGUUUUUCACAAGAAAUGUAUACCUAUCAGAUGAUUUGAGUUUAAAAGUCAUAUAUUAAUGUUUUAUUAAAAAAAAAAAAAAAAAAAAAAAAAUCACAUGUUUGGAAUAUGGUACAAUAGAAGGCUAAAAGUCUGUGGUUUGACAAAAUAAAAAAUCUAACUUGAUUGUUUUAUUGGUUAUAUUUUUAUUAUGAAAUAUGAUCUGAUUUUUAUUUAUUUUUUAUUUUUGAUAUUUCUUAUAUAAAACAGCUAAGAGGAUAAACUAGAGAAGACAUAAACCAUCUUUGAUUUGCUACAUAUGUCAUUGUAUUUAUCAAAAGUAAAACAAAAGAAAGCAAUAACUCAAUUUUUGAUCAACAUCUACAUGUUGAUGUACAAAUUCCAAAGAGUAGUAUUGCAAGAUUAAUAUACAUGGAAUUAUUCCACAAAUUAAACUUUUACAUUUUUUUUUUUUUUUUUUUUUUUUUUUUUGUAAUCAAUGACAUAUGUUUUUUUUAAUAUAUAUAAACACAUACAUAAAUAUAUAGUAUUGGUGAAGAAGACUCAUCUUACACUUAUUGAAGGUAACAAUGGAUGAUCACUUGCAUUAAGAGAUGUUAUUGAAGAAACACAAUCUUCACAAAUGAUAUUAGGAGAUCAAGUAUUAUGUGUUGUCUUCAACAUCAUUCAAUGUCCUGCAAAUCCUAUUGUCAUUGAACUCCCUUGGUUUGAAUUACAUAAUCUUGAUGUUAAUUGGAAUCUUUGUAAAAUUUCUUCAAGAUCAAAACAUCAAAGAAGGAAACAAGUUACAUCAUUUCUUAGAACUAUUGCCUUUAUGCAUACAACAAAGAAUGGUGUUGCAUUUGCAUUAUAUGCUACUCCAAUAAAAAAAUUUAAUUGAAUAAGUUUUAUAAGAUAUUCUAAUUCAAUAUCAAGAUUUUAAAGGUAUUUUUGAAAAAAAAUUGAAAACAUGCUAUCAUUAAAAUGAACAUCAAUCUUAUGGUUGUGCUAUAGAAUUACAAAAAAGAGCUCAAUUACUAUUUGGACCAAUAUAUAAUCUUUUUCAAAUAGAGUUAAUAGCCUUGUGGGAAUACAUUUAAGAAAAUCUUUUUAAGAAUUUCAUUUGAUACUCAAAAUUAGUUGUUGGAGUAUUUAAACUUUUUGUAAAGAAGAUAGAUGGAUUUUUAUGAAUGUGCAUUGAUUAUCAAUAUUUAAAGAAGAUAAUGGUAUAGAAUUGUUAUUCAUUACUAUUGAUAUUAUGAUUCCUUGAACAACUGGGACAAGAAAAGAUCUAUAUAAAGAUUGACUUUUGUGGAACUUAUAAUUUGAUACACAAUGAAGAAGGGAAUAAAUAGAAGACAUCUUUUUGGACAAGAUAUGAGCAUUUUGAGUACAACGUCAUGCCUUUUGGUCUAAUCAAUGCAUUAGCUAUAUUCUAACAUUUGAUAAAUGAUGUUUUUCAAGAAUUCUUGGAUAAAUUUUUUGUUUGCUAAGGUUCAAGCUAGUAAAGAUUGAAAAAUUCCUAAGACAAUUUGAGAUGUAAAAUGUUUUCUUAGUUUUGCUAAUUUUUAUCAAAUAUUUAUUAAAAACUAUUUUCAAGUGGCGGCUCUUUUUACUUGAUUAACAUAUAAAGAUAAGUUGGAAAAGGGGCCUCAAGUAAAAUAGCUUUUCAAGACCUUAAGAUGACUUUUAUUUUAAUUCUAAUUCUAGUACAUCCAUAUUUUUAAAAAAAAAUUUAUAUAGAGACUUAUAUUUUGCACUAGAAGUUGUACUAUCACAAAAAAAAAACAAAAAAGAAAACAAAAACAAGAAACUAUAUCUAGUGGUAUUUUAUUCUUAAAAGUUUUUAAUUGCUAAGAUUAAUUAUGAAAUCUAUAAUAAAGAAUUCCUUGCUAUUAUAGAUUUUUUUUAAAAAUAAUAUCAUUUGCUUGAAGGUGCUUCAUAUUUAGUGACUAUAUAUAUAGAUCACAAGAAUCUUCAAUAUUUUAUGAUGGUUCAUGUUUUAAAUUGUUGCCAAACUCAAUGGAAUAUGUCUCUAUCUUGUUUUGGCUUCAACAUUACAUAUUGACCUAAAAUACAACAAAGAUUAUUAGAUGCUUUAUCUAAGCAAUCAUACCUUGUGCCAAAAGAAAGAAAGAUAGCAUAUAAUCAAGAAUAGAUAAUACUCUUAAAACCUAAGCACUUGUAAUUUCAAGCAACCAUUAUGUCAAUUUUAAUGGAUUCUUUAUUUUUUUAUUCAGAUUUAUACAACAUUGGCUAUGGAUCUUCUUGCCUUUGAUAUUAAAUAAUAUAUUAAUAAUAUUUAAGAUAAUUCUAGCAAAUUUAAGUUUAAAGAAAACCUUCUUUACUUUGAAGAAUGCCUAUAUAUUCCUAAAGAACUUGCAUGCCUUUGUGUUUUCUAAGUGCAUCAUGACUUUCUUGCUGUUGCACAUUUUGAAUGCAACAAGAUAUUAGAACUUAUUUUUUAUGACUUUUAGUGGCCUAAGUUGUAAAAGACUAUCAAAAAAAAAUUUCUUUCAUGAAACUUUAAUUAGAAGAAGCUCAACAAAGAUAUAAAAUAAGAAAAAAUAUACUUAAAUAAAAACAACCUUCUUUUGGAAUUGAUGAUAAGGUGUGGCUCCUUUAAUACAAUAUAAGGACAAGUUGACCAUGCAAGUAAUUGGACUAUUGAAGAUUAGGGCCAUUUCUUAUUUCGAAGCAAAUUAAUCUUGUCGCUCAUUGUUUUGAAUUAUUAGUAUUGAUAAAAAUACAUUAUAUUUUUCAUGUUUCUCUUUUUGAAUCUUAUAAAGAAUCAUGCAUAUUAGAAAGAAUACAAGCACCAUUGGGAUAUAUUAAAAUAGAUAAUAAUAAAAAUUUUGAGAUAGAAGAAGUAGUUGAUUCAAAGAUAUCACAAGAACAAUUGGAAUACUUUAUAUAUUGGCAUGGUUAUACUAUUAGUCACUGCACAUAGAAGUUUACUCAAAAUUUAGUAAAUGUACCUCAAAAGGUACAAGAUUUUCAUCAAUAAUGUCCUUCCAAAUUAAAAGUAGCAACACGUGUGAUAUUUUCAUGAUAUCUAGUAAUCUAGGCAUGUAUAAUAACUACUAAGUAAUAUUGCCAUAAUAUCUAGUCUAUGAGGAUGAACAUUGCACUUCCAAAGAUUUCUAGAUUACUUUACAAAAAAGAGAGAAGUAACUUUUUUUUUUUUUUUUUUUUUUUUUUUUUUAAAUUAAGACUCUAUAGAAUAUAUAAGUAGCAACUCAAAUCUAUUAAAUUGAACCUUAAAUUUGGUAGUUUUUCUUGUUUUAGCUUAAUAGUUUCAAUUAUAGAUAGUUAAAAAAAUGAUAGUUUAUAUGUUGGACCAUCUCAUCGAAGUAGUUUAUAUCAUCAAUCUUGAGAGGAAGAAUUUUUUGAACUGCAAAGAUGUUAAAGAAUAUCUAACAAUUGAUGAUUUGUAAUCAUCAUUGAAGUAGAAUAUGCUCAUAGAGAUUGUCUAAAAAUAAUCUUUGAAGGAGAUUUUUAUAGUAAAGAUAUUUAAAUACAAGCUUAGUCUUAAAUGAAAGAUGUUGGUUAUUACCAAUGGUUGCAAGGACCAAUAAGCCUCUUAACCUAUAAAAAACAAUAUAAAUAUAUUACACAAACCAUGAGGCUUAUCUUUGAUUUUUUUCAUCUUUGAGCAAUUAUAGCUUAACUAUUCCUUGCGAAACUUGGAACCAAAGGAAGAGGUGAUGUCAUGAACAUCCAUCUAGAGAAGAUUUUAAAAAAUUAUCAAAGGUUCUAGAAGAUCUUAGAAGAUUUUAAAAAUUUCCAAAAGAGGUUUAUAAAGUUGAUUAACUCCCAAGUAAUGUAGAAAGUUACAAGAGAAGGUUCUUGUGGUUGAUUCACAAUGAAGCAACAAUGAAACUCCUCAAGAAGCAUCCUAGGAUGAUUUGGAGGCAAAGCCUUAUCUAAAAGCUUUCUAAAUCCUAGUAUAUAUAAGUAUUGAAGUUCAAGGUCUUCUUGUUUUAAACAAUAUAUGUUAUGUGGUUUAAUUUUGGACCUUUUAGUCUAGUUCUUGUUCUAUUAUUGUAUUGUUUAAUGAUAAGACUCAUAUAUCUUGUUAUAAUAUUGCAUAGUCCUUAGAUCUUCUGUAUAAUAUCUUAAUGUGUGUUGAUUUGCUCUUCUGAAAUCUUAGUAUUGCAAGAUCUUUAUUAAAAAAUACAUACAUGAUGUCUCACAUAUAUGAUGUCUUGCAAUGGUGCAUAGACAUGCACAUACAAUGCUCUCACAUGCAUAUAAAAUGUCUUGUAGCAUGAGCAAAACAUUCCCAUGCAUGUCAAGGCCAUGUGAAUUGGCAAUAGCUAUUGUCAAUAGCUAUACACUAAAAUUUUGAAUACAUAUAUAUAAGGAGAUUGGUUUUGGAAUAGACAUGUGCCUUAAUAUUUAAGAAGUGAAGUAUGUGAUGAGCAUUACUUAGGUGAUUCAAGAAGCAAGUUUUUGCUUAAAGCAAUUUUUAUCAAUGAAUCCAAAACUUCAUAGCCUUAUUAAAGAUAGAAUCAAUAAAGACAAAGAGACAUAGACAAACUUCAAGCAAGUAUGAAACACAUAAUAUCAUGGUACAAAAAUAACAUCCAAAGUCUUAUAAAAAUUAGUUUGCAUAUUGAACAUAUUAUUAUUAGAAAAAAAAAAUGCUUAGUAUGUUGAGAAGUGUGAUUUUGGUACUACACUCCAACAAUGUGCAUAUUAUGAUCUAAAGCACAAUUAUGAAUGAUCAAAGCAAAGUUCAUUAUUUUGUCGAGGAAAUCAAAGAAUUGCAACAUCUUUGUCCUUCGCUACUAAAGGUAGACAUCUUCACCCUCUUAAGAUGUAUGUAGCCAAAUUUACAAAUUCAUGCAGCUUUGCUAUACUAUUCUCUAGCUAGCUCCGUCAACUAUCACUAGUUUGAUAUCAAUGACUUAUAUGUGUAUUUGUAGAAUUUAUAAUACACAAGCAUUAUUUCUACAUGGAAUUCUAUAAUGCAAUAGUUAAAAAUGAUAUUAAGAGUGUUGCACUGGUGUCAUAUAGAGAAUAAAUUCUACCACAUUGUAACUAUAGCACAUAUCCAAACAAAAGAAAUAAUUAUCAAUAGCCAUAAUCAUAGUUGAAACCAUAGGCCUAAAUAGAAAAAAUGUGCAAAGAGUAAAGGUUUCUUAUAUCAAAAAGGUUUCCAUUGCAACAUUAUCAAAAAGCUUGCAUUAAACAUAUUUUGUCAUACAAAGCAUUUGAUAGAUUCUACCUACAAUACAUUAUGGAUUGAGAUUUCAUUUGUUUCAUGCCCUGGUUUUGUUAAGGCCUUGUAAAUUCUAAUUUUGAUUCACUUUUCACAAAAAUAAUGAUACAUGCAACCAAGCAAAGAAGGUUUUUGUCUCCUCUUGUUUGUCUCUUGAGAUGUUUUAUAUAAUAGACUAGUAGAAAUCCAUGUUGUUGACUAUAAAAAGAUUAUAAUAUAAUAAAUGCAUUAACAAAUGAAAUCUUUGUAUUGAUUAAGUUAUAGCUCAUUAAAUAUAAAUAUAAUAGGAAAGAAUAAUCACUCUACUAAUGCAUCUUUAUAUGCUAUGGUUUGGCCAUUGGUGCAUACCUAAUCAAAAACAUCAAAAUGCACAACCUCCUUUGUGCUAAGAGGCCUAACUUGGACUAUGACAUAUAUCUUCUCUUCUCCGCUCUUGACUUGUGUAAAUUGAGUUGCUCCACCUCUAUCAAUAGCAACAAUCAUAGUUAAGACCAUGUUGAGUAUGUGAAUUAAACCACCACCAACCUCCUUAAGAUUGUAACUUAGUUGUAGAAUCAAAGUAUGUCUUUUUAGCAUGCAAGAAAACAUAUCUUGAAAGGCAUUUCAUUGUUACCCAAGUAUAGUCCUUCUUCAACGUUUUUAGUUGUUGCUUGGAAAUGCUAUGAGAGCAUACCUUAGCUAUGGCCGAUUAUGUAGUUUGCAUGUAAUAGAUAUUUAUAUUUGGCUAAGGUUGAAACUCAACGCCAUAUUACUAGCACAACAAAAAAUAAGAGUAAAAUCUCUCAUUAAUAUAACAGGCUGGGAACAAUUCCAUAGGGCACAUUUUCUUUGGUAGGAAACCGUAAAAAGAAACACGUCUCAUCGUAAUAUACUCAUUUAGCCAUCACCAGUGGCAAUGGCGAGCAGACAACGACAGCAGAUAUCCUUCAUUCAAUGUGGAAUCUAGCGAAUAGAAACGAACUGAUGUAACUUCUACAGAUUCGAGUGUUAUUUUCAAUCUGAAACAAUUUCAAAUGAUAGUCAUUGGCCCACAGGACUACAUGUUUCUGAGCAAUAUCUGUCAGAAAACAAUCUUAUUACACUACGAAAUCUUGGCAAAUAUAUCUGGAAUGAUCCGAUGAACUGGAAAAACUCAGUUCUGUCCGCCAAUUUUCAGUUGAGGUAAGAACCUCAAUCCAAUGGAGACAAUUACGUCCACUCGCCUAGGAAGAAUACAGAAAUUACGAAGUGGAGGUCAGAAAUAGUUAAGCUUCACCAUGUUGCCGCUUCCCCAUAAUGCGUUUCAUAUCCGGCAUACACCCACUUGGUUUGCAGGUUGAUAUUUCGAAGGAACUCACAGGACUGAAUGCAGGAGGUACUGCAGCAAGUGAAGGUUAUGAGAGUUGCUGCUAGUAGGGCUUCUGGCACAGGUAGGUAGCUACUGCAUGUGGGGCUUCAAUUGAUGUUGAACUCAAGCAGCAUGUGCAACAAGUCGAUCGAUUUGUUUAUCAUCAGAUCCAGCCUUCGCCUCGGGAGUUGAAUCCUCACUUGGAGGCACAAGUUGCCAAAACUGUGGGAUAACCUUGUCCCAAUUCUCCAGGACAUACUUCCCCUUGGCACUCCCUGUCUUCUCCUGUUCCGCAAUCCCCAGAAAAGGCAGAGUUAGAUGACAUGAUAAUAAAUGCAAAAAUGAGCAUACAUGAAAAUUAGUUAAAUUGACACACGCAGGAAAUUAAAAGGUCGUACUGUAUGGGACUGGAUGAGCAGCCUAAGUUGUGCUUGCCCAGCAGGAGUUGUGACGCGUUGCAUUUUCACUAUCUCCCUGUUCACCUGUCAACAUAGGUUAAAUAAAUCGUUCAGGAAUACGUACAAGAAAGUCCAGUCUUCUAGUAUUACUAAUUCAAGCAUUGCACUCAAAGAAAUCGCAUUGUUGGGAGUUAAUAAUGUAAAUUAACUCCUAACGCAUAAUUUGUAGAUGUUGCAGAAAUACCUGGGGCGUGAAAGUAUCAUCUUCGUCCAGGAAAUAAGCUAAGCCACCAGUCAUUCCGGCGGCUACGUUGCGACCAACCCUAUAUCACACAUCCGUCGAGCAGGUGUAACACACCACAAUUUUAGACCAAAACCCAUCCAUCCCAUCCCAAAUGGGGAAUUUGAUCAAGUUUCCUGCUAUCCCAAACCUCAAAAGAUGCAUACAUAUCAGCUCAGUGUAAGUUCUGCAACGACUUAAUUUUUACUAGGAACUGUCAUACUCACUUGCCAAGGGACACUACACAACCACCGGUCAUGUAUUCGCAGCAAUGGUCGCCAGUCCCUUCAAUUACUGCUUCUGCCAUAGAGUUCCGCACAGCAAAUCUCUCGCCUGCUUUACCCCUCACAAAUAGCUGGCCUCCUGUAGCACCAUACAGACAAGUAUUGCCUACUAUAGUUGCCUCCUCUGGCACGUACCCACAGUUAUCAUAUGGAACCACAACAACCUCUCCUCCUGCCAUUCCCUGCCAAGAAAUACGCAGUAGAUGCAAUGUCACUUCCUUUGUUAGAUACAACUUCACCAGAAAUAACAAAAGUUGCGCUUGAAACAUGCGAGAGAACUGUAUCCCAUAUUUGCAGUCAACCACACACGUCGUAAUUAUUCCUGGAAAGACAUUACAGCGGAACGAGGGGCAUGUCCUGUGGAUGAAAUACCUUGGCAACACCAUCAUUUGCUUCUCCAAUUAGACGCAAGUUUAUUCCUGGAGUCAAAAAACAACCAAAUGACUGUCCCGCACUUCCAACAAACCUGCAAAGGAAGUAGCACUGAUCAGUUUCCAUUGCAAUCGAAGUAGAACGUCCUGCUGAUGAAAAAAGGUGGUACAGCAAACACAAUCAACGUCAAAUCUAAUUCUCAGUUCACGUCUCCACCAUGCUGAAUCCAAGGUUAAUUUAUGUUAUUUAGAAAAUGAUGUACCGCUGCAUAAAGUAGGUAUUCUUCAUGCUCAACUACACCAGCAGCCAAGCAACACGAAAACAACGUAACUUACGUUAGAUUGAGCCGCCCUGGGAAUCCAUUAUCCCCAUACUUUUUAGAAAUUACACCAGCUAAACGUCCACACACAGAGCGAUCAACAUUGAAUAUUUUAAUAGUCUUCUCAAAUGUUUUCGCCUUCUCAAUAGCCUCUGCAAUCUGCAAAUGACAAUUAGUACAUCUUGAAUCACAUCACGCUAGUAAUUAGAUCUGUCAAUGCACUAAUGGGUUAAAUGUGGCGGGGAGCAAGUCGGUAGAUCUCACAAUCUCACAAGAAGCUUCUGCUUAAAUUCUGUGUUUAUCUGGUUAUAAUUUCUGUAGGUGCUUCCCAUAGUAGGCGCCCCUAUCACGCAAGGUUGUGUUUCUGCGAUUGUAACAGUAAAACUACUGAACAAGUCUCGAGAAAAUUAAACCCUCCAAUAUUUAACGAUGAUAACUCCAAGAAGAAGUUUAACGCUAUGCAAACCUCUGGAUCAGAUAGAAGAAUGUCAUCUAAAAUGACACCAUUGGAAUGAACCUCCUGCCCACGAAUCUGUGUACUGCUCCACUUGGGUAAUCCAACACUCUGCACAGAUCUCCAAAUGAUUGAUCUUGUGACUAAUAUGAGAGAUUAUUUUCAUCAAAAAAUAUUAAGUGUGACAUAGUGGCAUUGUGCAGCAUUUCAAGACCAAAAGCUACUCCAAAUCCUGCUCGCAUGACCAAGAAUGAAUGGAUUAAGAUAACUUGCCUUCAAAAGGAAACUGAGAUCCAAGGGGUUUGUCUUUCGGAGUUUGACGUUUCUUGGCCGAAGCAGGUCAGUUCGUCCAAUAAUAUCAUCGAGCUUCUGAUACCCUAGAUUAGCCAACAUACCUCGCACCUGCAGAGAUGCACACGAUGAACCAUAUUCCACUGAUACAUGUACCAUUUUUUCCAUAGACAUGGAGUGCUUACAUGUGUAAAGAAAGCCCACCUCUUCAGCGACAUAUAAAAAGUAAUUCACAAGAUCUCCGGGAACACCAGGAAACCGAGCGCGCAACUCCUCUCUCUGCAAGCAGAAAACGCAAUUCGUGUAAGGCUGUGAACAAUGCCACGGGACGAUAUCACUGAAGAUAUACUUGCCGGCAAUAUAUCCCUCGGGAUUUCAUAAAAGAGUCGGUUAACUAGACAAUAGUUUAAUUAAAACACAUAAAUGGCAGUAGGAAGACAUUUAGUAUUAAUCAAUCUUUACCACCAGAAACUAAAUGUGCGUCAUAAAACAAAAUUAUGAUAAAUCCUUUGUAAAACUACCGAGACAGACACUACGAUAAAAAAUAAAAAUAAAACUAACCUUAUUUUUUUGACAAACAGUGUGUCUAACAGUACGCAACAGUAUCUAUGCAUUACCUGACUUGCAACUCCAACAGGGCAAUUAUUGGUAUGGCAAAUACGUGCCAUAAUGCAACCUGUGGCAAUCAUAGCAACAGUACCGAAGCCAUAUUCAUCAGCACCCAUGGCUGCUCCCAUCAUCACAUCGACUCCACUCUUGAAGCCUCCGUCUACUCUGAGCAUUACUCUUUCCCUAAGACCAUUCUUGAGGAGAUCCUGUCAUCAAAGCAGUCACAGAUCGUUUUUAAGAAAACCCUCAGUUGGCCAGGAACCAACCCUCUAUCAAUGAGAGGUGAUUUUAAUGUAAAUAGAUGGAGGGAGACGUCCAGCAGAAGCAUAAACUGCAACUUAACUAUUCGAACACCAUUAGAACUCUUAUAAUAAUCAGCAUGAAGACACAUCAUAUCUACCAAAUUCUUUAAUGAAAAAAAAUCAUGUUGUAACAGCUAACCUGAUGUGUUUCUGUUAAACCAAGCUCCCAAGGACCCCCAGCGUGCUUGAUCGAGCUAAUGGGGCUAGCCCCAGUUCCUCCAUCAUAUCCUGAAAUCUGCUCAUUCAAUCGAGCAUUGCAAAGCCAAAAGAUAGCCAUCAACCCAGAACAAGUUAAGACUAUUGAUUCUUAAAUUGCUCAAUUAUAUAUGAAUUAUACAAUGACGAGGCAAUUCCAAACGAUAAUUUUCGCCUAUUUAAAGCCCGUGUAUGGUGAAGACAUCAAAUCAAGCCCUCUCAAUAGAAAAUCAUAUCUGGAGCUUUCAAAUGAGACCAGAUGAAUCGAAGUCCAGAACAUAACAACUUUCCCAGACGCAAGUAACACAGCUAUUCACAGCUGCUCUUAUUUAUGAGCUUUCAUGGUUUGAGUAAUCAUAGAAACUAAUUCCACUAGAGAGAAAUUUCUCACGACAAGUUUAAUGCCAUAUUCAAGGUGCAGAGUAUUCAAUUUCACUUCAAAAGAUAUUUCUAGUAAUAUGUUGCCAAUUAUCACAACUCCUCUUUUUGUAAUCUCAAAAGAUUUCUUCCCAGUUUCGUAAUUGACAACUCAAAAGUUGACAGGGUUGAUAACACAGAACAUACUUAAAUCUGUCGAAGUGCGAAAAGUAUACCUGUAUUAUAUCUGCGUUAGCUUUAGCAACUCCACAAGCAACUGUACCGAUUCCAACUUCUGCUACAAGCUUCACCGAGACUUUGGCUUUGGGAUUAACCUGCGACAAAACCAAUGAGGAGUGAGCGACAUAGAACAGGAUUCGAUGGAUUAAGUCGCAAUCGACAUUCCUUCCAGCUAAAGCACUAGGUAUAUAAGGAUAAUGAGCAGAUUAGGGUUGAAUUUUUUAUUUUACCUGGUGAAGAUCGUAAAUUAGUUGGGCAAGAUCUUCAAUGGAGUAUAUAUCAUGAUGUGGAGGUGGAGAGAUCAAUGGGACACCAGCUUUUGAAUUACGCAAAGUAGCAAUAUAUGGACUAACUUUUUUUCCAGGAAGCUGUCCACCUUCUCCGGGUUUAGCACCCUGAGCUAUCUUUAUUUCCAAUUGGUCUGCAUUGGCCAGAAAUGUAGGUGUCACACCAAACCGCCCCGAAGCAACCUGCAAAGAAACACCAUCAACAACUCGACGUGUAUAUAUAUAUAUAUAUAUAUAUAACGUAAAAAUAAAAAUAUCAGAAUAAAGCCCAUAGAAGUCACGUCGAUUUCCGAUAGAAGCCAGAGACAGAAGAAGUUGAACAUACAAGUGGCAAUUCUUUCGACCUUAAAGCUCAACUCUGAUAAGCAUCCAAGUAAAACUUAUCUAAAGACAGUAAACGCCUAUUGUAUCCAAACCUGCUUGAUGGCACUCGAUGCGUGAUCUCCGUUCUUCAAUCCCCUCAGAUGAGGAAGCAAGGGCGACAAACCAUCAACGACAUCCUCCAGAUGCUUCCAUCUCACGGGAUCCUGAUAACAUAGUUUCCAGCUCUAUGUUAGUUGUCUAAAAAUUAAAAUAGUGGGAGAUUCGAAACUUCACCAAAGAUGGCCUCCAUACAUGAAGAAAUUAUCUAGUUACAAGGUCUCACAAACUGGAAAAUCCAUGUUGGAAAAGCGAUAGCGAAUUCCCAGUUGUAUUACAAAAAUAUGGGCAAAGUAGGAUUCUAGCUUAGGUUACGCUGUUUUUGGCUACUUACGUUACCAAAACAUUUACAAUAUGACCUCGGGAUCCUUUGGGCUUUCCCAUCAUUAACUUCCAGGUGAUAUCAAAAACCGCAACAAGAAAAAUUCAGAGAUAAUGGAAAAGAACAUGAUACCAAGGCAUUCAACAAGUCGCUGGUUCCAACUGCUUUGUUUUUCGAGUUACCAUGUCCAACACAAGGUGAUUUCAUGGUCGCAGAGACGGAAAUGAUGGAAGUGAUUUAUUCUUACCUCACCCCCUUCUCCUGAAUUAGAUUUCCCGCCUAUUCUGUUCAUGGCUACCGCAAUAACUUCAUGAGUUUCUCUAGAAAUGGCUCCCAAGGACAUCCCUCCUGUGCAGAACCGGGAUACAAUAUUCGAGGCUGAUUCCACAUCCUCGACGGGAAUGGGUUUCCUGUCUGACUUAAACUCCAGCAUGUCACGAAGAACCUGACAUAGAAUACAAGGCAGUCAAAAAAUGAUAUUAUAAUUUCUGAUUAUUCUUCAAAUGUUCAUGAGAAACAAAUUGACUAUGUUUUCCACGUGAACUAAAUACAAAUGAACUCAAGGAACUGCUGAGAAAAAGAUGGUACAUUGACAGGUCGACUAGCAAGAUACUCUAGAUAUACAGCAUACGCAUCCCUGUUUCCCUCCCUAACUGCCUUGUGAAGCAGCUUUGACAUCUCUGGAUUGUUGCCGUGAUAUUCACCUGCAGCAUAAACAGCAAGCAUUCAAAAUUAUGCGUUCUACAAUGGUUUUCAAGAAUACAAUAAACGAACAUCAUCAAUAACCAAACAUACCGCGAAAAUAACAACUUUUACACCAAGGCCGGCUAACAUGCUAACAUAGAAGGUUCGAUCAAGAUGGUUAAGAGAACAAGUAAAAUCUGUUCGAUCAAUAGGGUUUGAUGAAAUCGAGUUCUCAUGUAGCGUUGACCAGACGUCAAGCCAACUGCCUCACUUACCACCUGGUCUCGACUGUAUAAAGCCAUAGUUUUCCAGCUUUCUUGCUGAGUCUUCACCAAAACCUUUCGACCAAAAUGAUACAGUUUCCCACGCCACCUGGUCGCCAAAAUGCACAUGAAUAUUCUAAACCUUAAGACCUUGUCAAAAUUUGAUCUACAUAAUAAUUUCGAUGUGGUUGUCCUUUAGGAACAUUCUGAGAUGCAGUCUAAAAACCUGAGUACAGGCACACUAGUCUCGAACAUUCAAAAUUGAGGACUUCAUCAUCUUUCUUACCUCAUCAAGCGUUAAGCCACCUAUACGAGAUACACUCCCACGAAAAGCAAGGUCCACAACUUCUCGGCCCAACCCAUAAAUUUCAAAAAUUUGAGCACCGUGGUAGCUGCAUUCCCACUAUCAUGAUCAGUGAAGCUUUCAUGGAUGUUGAAGCUAUCUCUUACACACACACACACACACACACACAAUUCAUGCAUUAAAAUGGUACGCACACGUGUUGGCCUUGUAUUAUCAGACAAAGGAACUGAAACUAGACAUAAUUAACUAUGUCCAACAUUCGCAUUACUGAGUAGUAUCCAACUUUCAUACCUCGUCAUCAGAGAUAUGCCCAUUUUGGAGAGGAUCUUCAAAAGGCCCACCUUUGCAGCCUGCAAACAUUGUAACUUUGAGUUAGCAUUAGCGCUCUCAACUAUAAUCUCGCACUUCUGUUACUGUCAUUGAAAUCAAUUUUUUCCAGAAUGCUAACAACCUUGACGUAGUUUGCUUGAACUUGCUCAACAGAAGAUGUUGGGAUUUUCCCAUUCUUCAUCAAUGCUAUUGUUUUAGUACUCCCGCGCCACUGUCGACAGGUCUCUAGUGCUAAAUAAGGACAAAUACCACUGCACAUACCACAAGACAAGGCAAACUUAAAAUCACAGUUGAAGAGUACGGAGAUUGCAUUAAGCACUGACGCAAACAGAAUGACAACUGUCAACUGAAGGAGAUACAUUACCAAAAGAAAUACUGGUAGAAAAAUCACUACAUUUUUGUAGAAGUAGCAUUUUCAUAUUGGUACUAAUUGAGCAUCAACUCUAAUUGUUCCAUCCAUUGCCGUGCGUUCAAGAUGACAUUUUGCUUCGAGUUUCAAUUACAACAAGCAAGUCUAUGGCCUUGUCCCCGGACAGAACUUUUCCAUAACAAUCGAAAAGCAACAUAACCUAUGUUCAGGGAAUGCGCAGCAUGUACUAAGUUUACUCACCUGGCACCAUAGCCAAUGAGACAAGCAAAGUGAUGUGUACUGAAGCACUGUGCAGUGUCAACAAUGAUGCUGGCUGACAUUCUCAAUCCAUUAGAGAUGAGGUGGUGAUGCACUGCCCCAACUGCCAGAAGUGGAGGAAUUGCGGGCUUUUCUGGAUCCUUGUGUUCAGCCAAUCCAGAUCGGAUGCAUAGUUAGAAAGAAUGUAGGCAGAAACACUUCCUACUCGCGAACUGUAAUUGUUGUUUCGGUAUAUAAUUUAACUAUCCUGAAGAAAAUCUAAUAGGUUUGCCAUUGUGAUCUUGACUACAUGAAAUCUAAUCGUGGAAAGGAAUAAUCAGAGGAUUAAAAUGAUAACAUUCUCGAAUGUAUAUACGAGAUAGGAAAGAAAAUUAGAACUUACUAAAUGAUUAUUGCGGUCACUCAGAAUAAUGAGCUGAGAGCCUGCACGCACAGCAUCAUCUGCAGCUCGGCAUAAGCUGUCUAACGCGCUUUGAAGCGCUCCAGGUAUCCCUUUACUAAUAUUGAAAUAAGUACGCAACGUCUUGGCUUUAAGCACGUUGUCCAUCUUCAAAAGUUCUAGCUCUUUUUCGUUGAGCACUGGACUCAAAAGGGUCACCUAUACAUAAAAACCGGCGGACAGGAAUUCCAAAAUUAGAACAAAAGAUAUUCUCAAUCAGUUAGAACAUGCACUUCGAUAAAAGGAUCAGUUUUUGAUUAACUAUUGUUUAACAUUUCAAAUCCUGAUCACAAGUAGAUAGAUCUUCAAGAAAAAAGAACGGUUCAAAGGUGUCACAAUUGUAGCAAUUGCACCUGGGCUGCAUUCUGUGGGCCAACUUCAAGCAGGUUCUCUUUCUUUCCGACAGCGAUCUCUAGCGACAUGACAAGGCCCUCUCGCAAUGGAUCGAUGGCAGGAUUUGUGACCUGAGCAAACCGUUGCUUGAAGUAGUCAUACAACCAAUGCGACUUUUGAGAGAGAACAGGCAUCGGAGUAUCAUCACCCAUGCUGAAGGUAGGUUCCUUCCCCUGCGACGCCAUGUUCUCUAUGACCAUUUGCACAUCCUCGCUGGAGUAACCAAAGCAUCUAGCAUAGGUCAUGCAAACGACCAUGCACAUAUAUUCAACUCCCCGUUUAACAAUGAAUCAAAUUUAACACGAAGAUAGAAUCGAAACUUCAGCGGCAAAAAUUUGAGUAUUUUGGCUCGGAUUGUAAAAUACUUUCACAAAAUAUGAACAAAAACUAUCUUUCUAUUCUGCUGAAAUUCAUCCUACAAAAUUGGCGUUGAUUGAACAGGUUACUUGAUUUUUGCAGUUAGAAAAAAAUAUAAUCAAAUUAUAUCUUGAAAAUAUGCAUUCACCAGAAAAUCCAGUAGUGCAAGAAAAGAAUUGUCGAAAAAGAUGGACAUACUGCUGUUGCUUGAACAGGGCCUCGAUGGUCAAUGAAGACGGAGAUAAAUACUCUGAUGCUUCUAAGGCUCUGCUCCCUUCUGCAAACCAUUUACUGUAGGGUUUUGCAUUUGCAACUCGCCUCUUCACUUCAGUAUUCUCAUAAAGCUACAUAGCAGAAGUUACGCAAGAAUUACAAUUUGAUUUCCUUAUCUGAAGAUUUCCCUAAUCUUCGACGUACCUAUUACUUUUCAAGAAAACCCGUAGUUCCAUUAUUCGUUGGCUGCACUAUAACUCUAUCAUGCAUGCUCUUCACCACACUCAACUUGAGAACGAACCCCUUAGUUAUCAUUUCACAUACCUCGCCUGUCUCUAGGUUCGCCGAAAUCAUCAUCCCUGGUCCCAAGCGACCUUUCAAUACUAUUUCAGAAUCAUCAAUAUCCAUUACUCCAACCUACACAUAACAAAAUAGAGUAGAUUCCAUAAGUCGAGAAGUGAUGCUGAUUCACAGCAUCAGCCGAAUCUACCACAAAAAUCUCGACAAGGACUUUCACAAUUCCUGUUAGUUGCUGCAACGCAUAGAAAUAUCGACCUGAUAAGACUUAAACUUGUAGUAACAAAAAAAGCAUCCCAGGCAUCUAACUUGUAAAUGCAUCGAGUUGAACAAAAAAAGUUGAAAUUAAUUAUUCUUAUUCUGAUAUCCGAAGGGGGAGGUGGGGGGAUAAAGAUAAUUCAGAAUCUGAAAGCUACCUCAGAAGCCACAUAUAUAAUAUCGUCUUUUGUUCGCCAAAAUCGAGCAGGACGAAGUCCAUUCCGAUCCAGACACGCUCCUACUGUCCUCCCGUUGCUACAAAUACAGGAGAUGCACCCAAUGAAUAAUUUUUAGGAUAUUACGAACACCUCAGCUAAGACGACUAAAUACUUCAAUACCAAUGCUGAAAUCAGCAAACAGCUAUGGACGUCAGAUCACCAAAUUACCUGAAAACAACCAGGGCAGGUCCAUCCCAAGGCUCCAUUUGGCCCUUGUAAUACUCAUAGAAGCCAACAGCCUGUGGAGAGGAAAAAAUUUAGCAUUCCCUAAUAAGAGUUUAUGUGGAAAUAGGCAAUCUUUGUAUUGUAAUAAGUAAGCUCAGCCUGUCUAAGCUGCCUUUCCCUAUCUAGUAUACUCACCUCAGGAUACUUGAUCUGUAGCGUGGGAUGAUUCAUGUAGGCUUCUGGUAUCAACAUCAUCAAGGUCUCCUCAGGACUACGACCACUUCUCAUUAAUAACUGCCAAUUCAAGAGUAUAGUCCAAAUUGGUUACCAAUGCAAGCCAUGGAUUAACUAACAUGAAGAAAUUGCAUGCAAUAUAAAAGAGAAAUCAGAAGAAAAGAUGCCACUUCCGCAACUGCUUGGACAUCCGUCAAAAUUGCUGAAAGUUUCAGUGUAAUACAUCUGUAAACAUAAGAAAUAUUUUACCUCGGCAACCAUGUCUAGAUUAGCCGAAUCAGAGGCCUUAGCAUUGCCAAAUGGUCUAAUGUCCUCCUCCCGUCCUCUCCAAACAGGGGAUGUCAUAGAUGCCUCCCUAGAUCGCAUCCAGUUAAGGUUACCCUACAUUAUCAAAAGAUUUUUAAAUUCAUAGAAGUAUUCACAAAAUGAUGGCUUGCGAAAGUGAGGCACCAAAGAACAAAAUCACAUAAGUACCUUACAGAAGAAUAAUACUUUAAAGACAGAGAACAAGAAACAACGUAACUUCAGUCUCCACAUAACGAUUUGCAAAUAAGAAACACACUUACAUGAUCUAAUCCUAUAGCCAUUACUAAAGUGGCUGUUCGUAAAUCAGAUAAAAACGAUAUUCACAUACCACACUCACUUUAAUUUCUAUAGGUCUAAGUCACCACAAACUCAAGCCUGUGCUAGUAUCAAACUUUCAUGACCACAUCCUUGAGGACAAUGAGAGAUUUACCUGUAUCGUGUUAAUUUCCCCAUUAUGACCCAAAAAACGCAUGGGUUGAGCAAGUGGCCAUCUUGGGCUGGUGUUCGUGCUGAAGCGUCUGUGAUAGAUAGCGAACGGGGUUACAUAUGAAUCGUUGUGAAAGUCACUAUAAAAUGUGCCUAACACGGUUGAUCGCAUCAUUCCCUUGUAUACGAUUGUUCGGCUGGAGAAAGAACAGAAGUAGAGGUCUUCACUCCAAGGCUCCUUCUCCUUGGCUUUCUCUAUUAACUUACGAGUAAUAAACAGUUCUCUUUCGAUAUCAUCCCCUGCUUGUUCCAUAGACACUUUCACAAAGACCUGUUCCACUAAUGGUAAGGUUUUCUUGGCGAUAGGUCCAAGUACUGACACAUCUACUGGCACCUGCCGCCAUCCAAGCACCUCAAUGCCCUCCUUCUCUAAAAUCCCCUCUACAACUGCAACAUAGAACCAAAUAUCGUCAGUGAGCGCGAUACAUGUUCUAUCAGCGACAGUUAGUCUCAAAAGUACACACCAGCGAGCAGCAAAACAAUGUCGCACUCUUCACCUGCUUUAGCUGCUGCUCUCGAAUCGGAGUCCGUAGGCAAGAAUACCAUGCCCACGGCCGUCUUAGCUUUAUCAGGAAGAGGGAGCCCUUGCUCUUUAAACCACUGAUCAAAUAGUUCCCAUGGAAUUCUAGUCAUUAUGCCCGCUCCAUCACCAGAAUCGUUGUCAGCAAGGCAGCCUCCGCGGUGUUCCAUGCAUCCUAGAGACUUGAGUGCAUCCUUCACAAUUUUAUGCGAAGCCUCAUUCUUCAAACUGGCGAUGAAUCCAACUCCACAAGCAUCGCGUUCGGCCAAAAUAUCUUCAAGAUUCACAACCUACAACAGAGGAGGACGUUGUGUCAGUUCGCCGCCGUGCAAUCUCGCUAUAUUGAUGACGUUUAAGUAACAUCGGAAACGAAUUUCCCUCCCAAGAUCUCUAAUUUUCUGCAAACAAGUGUUGAGACUGCUUACAUAUCUACAACUUAUGUAACCACUUUCUUUCGGUUGGCACAUUCUAGAUAACUUAAUGAGUGUGUAAACUGAAUGUUCAGAGGUAAGCAUCGACUCCAAUUCUCUGAAAUUUGGUAACAUCUGCUUCUCCAUGAAUAGAAACUCAUGCAUUGCGACCAGCAACCAGCUUCAACUCUACCCACGCGUUGGGGAAACAAGAUAUAGAGGAAUUUGUAAAUUCACCUCAUAUUUAGCAUUCUCUUUACUGAACGUAGUUGUUCCAGAGGCAUUUUCUAAGACUGCAGCACACACUGUCCUCCAGCUAUGAUUGGGCCUUGCCGUAAACUUCUUUACUGUCCUUCGAUUCAAGGUUUGCCGUCUCCUCCAACCAGGCCUCAAAUCAACGGAACCGCACCAAUCAACUCCGGCACGACACAAUGUGAGAGAUUUCGUAGAACGCAAAGAAGUUGAGAAACCCGAAGUUGACGAAAGAGUAUCUGAAUUCGGUAAUGUUCGUACAACUGGCGAGACCAAACUCGUGACCAAUGCCAUGACUCUAAAUCCUCAACCAGAAAUCAGCAGCUUAUAAACUGUCAAAAUUGAACAAGACUUAGGUUAGUUACGAAUUUUCCAUAAGUCUCGAACAGAUAAUAUUCUUAUAAUUCAUAUCAAUAUAAAUGAUGGCCUUUGUUUGAAUGCAUGUAGAAGAUGGACAGUCUCGACGCACACAAAUCAUAAAGCAAACGACGGGAUGCUUAGAGACGAAUUGGGGUGUACGAUUCGGAUCUUUAAUUUCCAAAGUAAAAAAAGGUUAAAAACAAACACUUGCAGAAUGUCCUCACCAAACGCAUAUAGUAACGACAGAGAGUACAUAAGCUUGAUGUAUUUCCUCCUCAAAGUGGACUUGCAAGAAAUCUUCGAAAUCCACCCGUUACCUUGCACAAUUCUGGUCAACCCUCUCGCGCUACCUGAACUACGGAAACCUCACAGCCAGUUUAAAGAAAUCAUCCCGAAAUAAGCAAGCAGCAUCACAGAUCCUCGUAACCGCUAUGAGGUCUAACAAAGCUACAGAAAAUUCCUAGACAGCCAACCCCAGCCGCACCUCUCAAAACAGAUAAAUAAAUAAAAAACCUCACACGAAAGGAUCGUCGUUGCAAGAAACAUCAUGAUAAAACAAACAUACUAUCAAACAUUUGCAGAUAACCACACCACGAGUCCGAUCGCCUCACCGGACGUCACCGAUCCCACAUAACACAACAUAGAGAGAGCAAAGCGGAGAACAACAAGGCUUCGAAACGCAAGACCCCGCCUAAUUCACUCCGUGAUCAUUCAUCUAAUUCUUAACAACAAGCCGAGGCUUAAACACGAGCCAACGAGGCUUAAACACGAGCCAAAUCCGCGAUGGUAUGUACCUCACAGAAUUGAAACGCCGCAAUGGGAGAAGAACAAGCAUUCGAUCGACAUAGAGGUCCUGCGACGAUCGCCUCUCUCUCUCUCUCUUUUUCACAACUGGAGACAUACGCCCUAGUGAUCCGGGGACUCUGUCACUUUCCAUGUAAACAACCAGGUUAGAACAAAGAGAACGCCGUGUGGAACGGGAGGGAACGAAAGGACUGCCACGUGGAUGCCGAGUCAGCAGUGUAGGGAGAUACCACGGUGUGAAGCAGACUCGAGAUGCUAGCCCUGGAUUCUUGUGCGGUGGAGAUUGACACCGUAAAUGCAUGACCAACGUGGAACGUCGAUUGCGUUGUGUCCCGCCUGCCACCUUUAAGCAGACUGUAGCCGUGAGCGCGAGAACGCGGCGAUCGGGAAUCAAGCGCGGUGUAAGAUGAAGGGGCUCUUUCUUAUACUUCAGUGAACCAACGGUCCAGAUCGGUAGACUCCAUCGAACGGUUUUAGCGCACUUCCUUUUCGGGAUUCCUGCCCCGGGUUCGGGAGACGAGAGACCAAGGUCGAUGAGAACCCCACAUGUUCACACUUGUCACAAACGAACGUUUCAGGGCUUUCCCACUAUCUGACUGAGCCUUAUUCCGUGAACCUUGGUGGCCUUUAACCGUGCCAAGUUCUGAGGAAUACAAACAAGUUUGUAAUCCUAGCGGUGUUACAACCAGGCUCUGUUUGCAAUAUGUGUAUACAUUUGGAAGUUUGAAUGUGUUGAGAAUGUUUUAAAGAAAGAGAGACAAUAGCAGCUAGAAGUAAUAUGCACACAUAUGUAAACACACACAUAAAAAGUGAGUUUAUUCAUAGGAUUAUAUCCUUUAUACAAAGAGAAGGGGAGAAGAUAAACAGUGUCUUUCCACUACAUUCCAAACACUGUAGCUGUCAUAGACAUACACAUGUAAGCUAGUAAUUACUUCUAUAAAUAGAUUGAAGUAAGUAGAAAUAGAUAAAAGUAAGUUAAUUCUAUUAUAUCAUCUAUAGAAGCUUCCUAAAAGCUUCAUAGAUGCUACUUUGACUUUUUAGGUGUCUAUAAUUGACUUUUUGAGUUAAAAAAGUGGUCAACAAGUUAGCCAUGUACCACACAUGUUGUUAGCUUGAAGACCAAGCUAACUAUAUAGCCCGCACAUAGAAAAACUUGUCUUGAGAGUCAAGGGAUGUGUCCUACAAAGUCAACACAUACUGAAGGUCUUAUAGAACAUUGCCAAGUAGCCCCUAUUUAGAUAGUAUAUAUAGAGGCAAGAAUGAAGCCCUCUUCACUCUUGUUAACUCUUUUCUUGUUUCUAAUCUAGUUUCAAGAGUCUCAAGUUUUCUUGUCUUUUAGCAAUAAGUCAUUCCAAUUUCUUUUAAAUAUACAUACUUCCUUAUUUCUAUUUUGUUAUUCUUUCUUUGACAUAGAUUUCAUUGGUUUAUGCAUCAUCUUUUAGUUCAUGUCCUUGACAAUAGCUAUAGUAAAUAUUAUAGACUACAAUAAAUAGUAUGGAGAGCACCAGCUACAUUUAAUACUCUCAACACUCUUCUUCAUUCGUCAUAAUAUUUAUAUGUAUAGAAUUAUGAUCUAUAUUUUUUUGUAAUCUUGUAAGAUCAAUGAUUGUUGUCUCAUUAAAACUUUUUCUAGGAAAAUCAAUUAUAUUUAAGGACAAAACCAUAGAUGAAAGAAAAAGAGUACAUCAUUAUCUUAGGAAUUCAUUAACUUUCCUGAUCUAGAAAAGCAAGUCUCCGCAUGCCGAUUCCAUAAGUAAGUCGGCAAUGGUUGCACAAAGGAAGAGCUUUGGUGAAGAAAUCAGCAAGAUUAUUUGUAAAUUCAAUUUUUUUGAUCUUAAGUAUUUGAUCAGUAAUCAAGUCAUGGAUAUAACUAAAAUAUUUUGGAUCAAUAUCCUUUUUCUUGUUUCCUUUAAUAAAAACCAAUUUUUAUUUGUGUAAAAUAAACACUAUUAUCUUCAUAUAAGAUAGUUGGAGAAUCAUUAUAUGAAAAUCCACAUGUUAUUUGAAUGAGUUUAUUAAUUGAUCGCAACCAAAUACAUUCAUGAAAUGCUUCAUGUAAGGCAAUAAUUUUUGCAUAGUUAGAUGAAGUUGCAAUUAUAGUUUGUUUCACUAAUUUCCAUGAUAUUGCAAUUCCAUGUCUUAAGAAUACAUAGCAUGUUUGAAAUUUAGGUGUUGCAAUAUCAGAUUUAUAUCAUGCAUUAGAACAUCCAACCAAUUUUGGAUUUGAAAAUCGUGUAUAGUAUAAUCCUAAAUCUUCACUACCUUUUAAAUAAUGUAGUAAAAGUUUGAUACCAUUUGAAUGUCAUAGUGUUGGAUAUUGUCGUGAUGUAAUACGACUACAUAGUGAAAUUAUAAUCAAAAUUGAAUUUCUAAUCAAUAUCUAAUUAUCUUAGUUCAAUUAUAAUUUGAGAUAACUAAACAUGGCUUUUAUAAAAGCCUCUUAGGUUAUUUUCUUAUCUUAAUAGUUAAUAGGUUGACAGUUAGUAAGUAAUUUUACCUUCUAGAUUGUAGAGACUCUUCUACUAUCUUAGAAAGAGCAUAAAUUGAUAAAAUCAAAGUAGAAGAGAUAAAUGGUUGGUAUGAUUAAUACUAAGGUCAAGUUAAGGAUAGAAUUGGGCUAAAAAAUCUUUAGGAUAAGUUAAAUUGAUAUCUGAGGGUCGACCAUUUAUGAGACAAGGUCAAAAUUAGACCUCUGAUUACUAAAACGACCAGUGAAGGCAAGUUAGGGAUUUAUUCAAAGAUCAGAGGAUAGGAUUUGAAAGGUAGCUUGAAGUUCCUUCCAAAGGCACAAGGAUUUUUUUUGGAGGGUUUUUGAAGACUUAGCAAUUAUUAUUCAAAGUUAGGGUUUGUAUCAAUAAUUUGGAUUUUAUGUAAUAUAGUUAAGGCUAGUAAUUUUAGCUAGUUUGUGGAAUUGGUAUAACAUCUACAAUUGAAAAUUUGAUACUAUUUGGAUUAUUAAGUGUGCUAAGUAUAUACAAAAUUUUGUGGUAAUUUAAUGGCGUGGUUUAGCAAUAUCUAGUUAUUAGCACAAAAAGAUUUCGGAAGGUGACAGUUUGAGGUUGGAUAGGAUUUCUAUGAUAUGUGAAGAUCUAUCAACUGGAUUAAGGUAAAAAUUAGCAUGGUGUUGAAAGACUUGAAGAUCAAGCUACAUAUGAAUUUUGAGACAAAGUUAAUAGUUAGAAAGGGAGAAAUCACUGCUAGGAUUUUUGCUUCACUUUUCAAGUUGAUGGCCAAGUAACAUUAGUGCAAUUUUUGGAGGUUUUCUCACAAUUUGUAAGUUGGAUUGGACUAAAAAUUCUUGAGCAUAUAGAAGACUUACAUUGAAAAUUGCAUGCAAAAUUCUACAUCAAGUGGACAAUUAGAUUGGAUGUUACAGCUUGUUAAAGCUCACUGAUUAGGAUUGGGGCUUACAAGAAAAAUCUAAAUUGCUUAAAUAUGAAAGUAACAAGGUAAUUGGAGUUUAUGUAUAGUUAAAACUAUUAAGAAGAGUUUUUUUAGCACUUUUGAAUUGAAACUCAGAUUAUAUUCUUCUCAUAUGGACAAAAUCUAUUAGGAUUUCUUGGCUACUUGUAAAACACAAUCUCACCUUCCACAGCUAGGUGACAGGUGCAUUCCUGAGUAAGACAACACGUAAUACAACAAUGUGCACUAUGUCUUGCAAGAACACUAAGUGCGAAUGCAAUAUUUGGUCUGAUAGAUGUGGCUAAAUAUAAAAGUGCUCCAAUCGCUACGAGGUAUAUAUAUUGCUCUUAUAAUAUUUCUUCCUCCUCCUUGCACAAACGAUAUGGAUUAUGACCAUUAUGACCUCAUCCAAUCAUUGGUGUGGAUAAUGGAUAAGCAUCAAUCAUAUUGAAUCUUUGUAAGAUUUGUCUAAUAUAAAUUAAUUGAUAGAAAAAAAAUGCUACAAUCUUUGAAAUGCAUAAUCUGAAGACUAAUGCAGAAAGUUAUUUUUCUUAGUAUUUUUAUCUCAAAUUCAUAUAUAAGUAGAUAAGUAGGUGCAAUACAUGCAGAUCUAAUCUCCAAUACGAUAAAAUCAUCAACAUAUAUAGCAAUAAUUACAAAUCCUAUUUUAUUUUGUUUGAUAAAUAAAUAAGGGAUUAGUGGAUCAUUUACAAAAUUAUUUAUAAUUAAAUAAUCUUGGAGACAUUGAUACUACAUGUGUCCAGAUUGUUUUAGAUCAUAUAUGGCCUUAUGUAAUUUAAUACCAUGAUAUCAUCUUAUAGCACGGAUAUUUGGAAUUCCUCCUUUCAAACCACAUGGAGUUUUCAUAUAAAUAUUUGCAUCAAAUGAACCAUACAAAUAUGCAGUUAUCACAUCUAUGAGACGCAUUUCAAGGAUGGCAUGAACUACCAUUCUAAUAAUAUAUUGGAAUAUAAUUGAAUCCAUGAUUAAAAAAUAUGUAGAUUCAUAAUCAAUGCCAAAUUAUCAAGUAAAUCCUUGAGCAACAAGACAAGUUUUAUAACAGGUUAUUUGAUUUUUAGCAUCUCUCUUGCAUAUUAAUAUCAUCUUAUAUCCCACAAGGCAAGAAGUAAGAAUGUCCACAAUUGGACUGAAGACUUUUGUCUUAUGCAAAGAAGCAUAUUCUUCCUUGAUGGUAGUUUUUCAUUUUAAUUAGUGAGAGCGACGUAUUCAUUCCUAAAUAGUUUGAGGUUCAGGAUCUUCCUUCUCAUAAGAAAGAACUUCUGUCAUUAUGAAUGAAAAUGAUUCAUCUAUUAUAAUUGAUGGUCUAUCCCAAAGGUCAUUUGUAGUACAAUAUAGAACGGAUAAUUCUAUACUCAAUUCAGUUUUAUUUUUUCUAUUUUCAAAAAAAAUUAUAGAAUGAAAUAAAGGUAUAAUGUGCAUAGACAUAUUGUCAUUAAUUGGUGGUCCCAUAAGUGUAGUAGGAACUUCUAUAGAAAUAAUACGAGAAUCAACACAUGUUAUAGCUUUCUUUUUUCAUGGUUGCUUAUUUGGUCCAUGAGUCCUUUUAAUUAGUAAUGUUUUAACUUGAGCUAUAUUUGUUAGUGGUAUUUCAAUCCGAGCAAGUUUAUUUUGAGUCUCAUUAAUUGGAACUCUUGUAAUUGGAGACGCAUCAUUGAAGCCAUCAAGUGUUUUAUUUAAAAUCCAUUUUAGAUACAAAAUCUUUGUAACUUCACUUUUAGCCAAAGAUGUUCUAAUAUUAGGAUUCAUUGUAAAUAUUUUUGGUACUCCAAAUACAAGUAUUGUAUUUUUUUGUUGAUUAAAUACUCUUCCUAGAAGAGAUGGAAAUAUGUUCUCUUUGAAAUGGAAAUUUUGAAAAUGUGCAUAUAACAAUGUGUUAGUUGAUGGGUCAACUAAACAAAUAAUACAUUGUGAAUCAAAACCAAUAUAUAUGCCUUCUUGUCAAUGAGUUCCAAUGGUAUGCUGUUGAAGUUCUAGUAUUGGAACCCAAGUACGGCAAUCAAAUAUUUAUAGGUGAGAUACAUUUGAAAUACGACAUGAAAUGAGCUCUUGUGGUAUAAUAAUUUUAAGAAAACAAAGACAGAGACGUAUUAGUGCUACAACAUACAAAACUACAUGACUCCACAUAGAUGCAGGUAAUUUGUAUGAAAAAAGAGUGGCCAUGUAAUGAAUUAUAUACACUUUAUAAAUGACUCUACAAGUCCAUUUUGAACACAUUCAUAUGGAACACAAUAUAUCAACUCAAUCCUUAUUGUAGUACAAUAGUCUUCAAAAGACUUUGAUGCAAAUUCUUUUGCAUUACUUAUAUGUAAUGUUUUGAUAGGAUAAUCAAAAAAAUCUACUUGAAAAUAAAUAAGCAUGGAUAUAAGAUUAGAAAAUACCAUAUUUUGAGUUGAUAAUAAUGAAACAUGUGAUUGUUUGCCUAAUGCAUCAACAAGGACCAAAAAAUAAUGAAAUGGUUAAGAUAUUAGAUUAAUAGGACCACAAAUAUCACCAUACAAUCUUUCAAGUAUUAGUAGUAAUUCUUUUGGUAGUUUCCAAAUUGAAGACCAAGUAAGCAUCUUGUCUUACACACAUGUACGACAUAAUUUCAUAGAAUCUAUAUCUACAAAUCUUAAAUUAUGUUCAAUUAUACAUAGAAUUAUCUUCCAAAAUAAUGUAGAUCCUAGAUGUCUCAAUCAUCCAUGCCAAAGAGAAAUACGAUUCUUUGUUAUAGAUGAUGCAAAAUUAAAUAUAAUAGGAGGUCGAAUUGUAAUCUGGUAUAAACCAUUUGUUGCAACAAAGGCUGUUUCUACAACUUUAUGAUUCCAUUCAAGAACCAAAACCUCUUACCUAUCUAAAAUUGCAGUUGAGAGGUGAUAACCAUUGACACAUAUAUCUCGAUAACUAACCAGAAUCUAAGGUGUUAAAGGUGCAAAUAUUAUAUAUUAAUAUUUUAUGAUAGAGCCCACAAGAAAUUUUACCAUUGUUAUUCCCUCUUGGAAAUAAAAUGCAUUCGUUUGAGCCAUAGUCAUCAAAUUUUUAGUUUGCUAAGUUGAAAAUUUUUCAAUAAAAAACCAUCUAUCCUUCGCGAUAGUAUAUAUUGUUGUAAAAUCAAUGAGUGUAUCAUUUGAUUCAUCAUUAGAGAUUUUGUCAUUCAUAUAAGCCUCUAAAUCAUUAAUACCAAUUGAAUCCAUGGAUGCAUCAAUAAUAUAAACUUGAGAGCCUUAGCUUGAAGUUUCUUAUUUUCUUGGAACAUUUCAAUAAAGUAUUUUGAAGUACAGCUUGCAUGUGCCAAAUGUCCAAUCAUUUAAUAUUUAUGGCAAGAAUGCAUCUUUGAUUUUUGUUAUCUACUAUAAUUAGUUGUAGAAUGUUUAUUCUUUCUAUAUAGUUGGAAAUGGUCAUGACCAUAAUUGACCUGAUGCUAAUCACUAUUUUUUCCAAGUUUGUAUAAUUGUUUCUUAGACUUUGGAAUAUUAAGUACAUGAGAUUUUUGGAACUGUGGUUCCAAUAAGACAAGCUUCUGCAUUACAUAAGAAUAGCUCAUUUUAUUUCUCCACAAGAAAUAGAUAGGACAUGAGAUUAUGAUGACUCUAAAAUUUCAUAUUCUUAUAUUGUUGUGCAAGCUUAUCAGAUGCAGGAGGAAAUAUAGAGAGAGUUUUCUCAAUCAUUUUAUCUUCAGAGAUGUUUUGUCUACAUAAUCAUAGUUGUAAGACAAUAUAAUAUAUUUCACUAUUGAAAGCAUUUAAAUUUGGAAAAUCCAAGACAAGUAAAUGUAUCCAAUCAUGACAUAUAUAUAGAAGAAAAUUGGUCUUUUGAUGAUUAAAUCUAGAUUUAAGAUUCUCCUAGAGCUUGGUUGAAUCUUCUAUUUUUAAAUAUUGAUGUUGUAAUGUAGGUAUAAGAUGUCGGCAAAAGAGAAGAAGUACUUUCCAAAAAAUAGUAAUAAGAAUUGAAGUACUAAUAGUAGAAGAUUCUUCAAACAGAAUUAUAUCAAAUAGUUGUUUUGUAAAUAAAUUUACUUUUGCCAUUUUUGUCUAUAAUAGAUAAUUCUUUCCAUCAGCAGCCAAUGGUAGAAAUAGAAGGGCUUGAAAAUGUUGGGAUGCAAUGGUGAUAGUUGGAAACAUAAUAGAUGUAGUUGAGGAUGUUGAAGCACUCAUCAUAAAUAAAUCUAAGAACAAAAAAAUUCUAGUUCAAGUAGAAAAGGUUGAAUAAAAUGUACCUUAGAAUGUAAAGCCAAAUAGAAUGAUAAAGUUGAAACUUGGAAUCAAAAAUUAUAUAUAUAUAUAUAUAUAUAUAUAUAUUUUUCUUUUUUUUCUUUCUUUUUCCACAAAAAUAAGGAUCUACGAUGGACUGCAACAAGGUACGUUAUGGCACAACAAUUCAACAGUAGGGUGCAGUAGUCGGCUGCAGGAUGUAUCAAUUAGUGGCAAUUGGCAACAAUAGUCAAUGGCAAUCGAUGGCAACAACAGCAACAAAAACAAUAGCAGCAAAAGAACAAAAAAAUACUAGUUCAAGUAAAAAAAAUUGAGUAAAAUGUACCUUAGAAUGUAAAGCCAAAUAGAAUGAUAAAGUUGAAACUUGGAAUCAAAAAUUUUACAACUAUAUAUAUAUAUAUAUAUAUAUAUACUUCUUUUUUUUCUUUUUUUUUUCCACAAAAAUAAGGGUCUAUGGUGGACUGCAACAAGGUGCGUUAUGGCACAACAGUUCAAUAGUAGGGUGUAGUAGUCAGCUGCAAGGUGUGUCAAUUAGUGGCAAUCGGCAGCAAUAGUCAGUGGCAAUCGAUGGCAGCAACAGCAACAAAAGCAACAGCACUAAAAGAACAAAAAAAUACUAGUUCAAGUAGAAAAGAUUGAUUAAAAUGUACCUUAGAAUGUAAAGCCAAAUAGAAUGAUAAAAUUGAAACUUGGAAUCAAAAAUGUUACAAAUAUAUAUAUAUAUAUAUAUACGUUUUUUUUUUCUUUUUUUUUUUCCACAAAAAUAAGGGUCUGUGGUGGACUGCAACAAGGUGUGUUGUGGCACAACAGUUCAACAGUAGGGUGCAGUAGUCGGCUGCAAGGUGUAUCAAUUAGUGGCAAUCGACAAUAGCAGACAGUGGCAAUCGAUGGCAGCAACAGCAACAAAAACAACAGCAGCAACAGUAGUAGCAAUAACAAAGGACACUAACACAAGCAACAACAACAACAACAUAGGAGAAAACAAAAGAAAAAAAUGCACAUAAGUUUUUAAGAACUAAGAAUUAAGACUAGAAUAUAAAAGCAAUCGUGCUGAUAACAUGUUGAAAAUGUUUUAGAAAAAGAGAGACAAUAGUAGAUAGAAGUAAUAUGCACACAUAUGUAAACAUACACACACAAAAAGUGAGUUUAUUGAUAGGAUUAUAUCCUUUAUACAAAGAGAAGGGGAGAAGAUAAACAAUGUCUCUCCACUACAUUCCAAACACUAUAACUACAAUAAAUACUAUAGACUAUAAUAAAUAGCAUGGAGAGCGCUGGCUACAUUUAAUGCUUUCAAUAGAAUGCAUUAAAUCUGUGAAAUUAUAGCUAAUUAGUUAUGAAUUAUCAUUGUGAAAUUAAGAAAAAGGUUAUUAAUUGAUAAAGAGAUAGAUUGAUUCAAACGUUGUAGUGAGAUUUUAUCAGUUUGGAAUAAAAUUUUGACAUAUUAGUUGAUAAUUGGUAAAAUAUGCAAAGCCCUAAAAUUGGAAGGGCAAAACAAAGGUUGAAGUAAUGUCCUGGGAUCGGACGCGCUGAGCUCAAGCAAUCGAUUCGACGACAGUGCGGAGCUGAUUCAUGUUCAAGAGGCUCCUAGAAUCAGUUUUCCAACACAGGACAUGUCAUAAAAUCUUCUUAACUAACACGCAUCCUGCAGCUUAUGAAGAGGAAGUCCGAAGUUCCUGAUUGUUUGUAGAGAGAGCUGCAGUCCGAGUGCUGCUGGGGUUGCCGAGUUUGCGCAAGUUAGACUAGGGAGAACGGAUUGUCGUUGUUGAGGCAGUCCUAGGACAUUGGAGAUUCAUGUGGAGACCAUGAAGGGAUGAUUUCACUCGUCAUGAGCCUAGGAAAUAGGAGUUCAGAAAUUUAGGUGUACAUUUCUAAUUUCCAAGUGAAAGCCUACUGCGCACUUAAGAGGAAGAUCCAGAGCCAAGUCGAGCUCCUUGCCUAGCAACCCCGUGCCCGAGCAGAGCUUUACUGCGUCGAUCGCCGCACACCAUGUCAUCAGUCAGUUUGAGAGGUUCGCCAUCGGAUAGUCCAAUCUGGAAAAAUUGCUCUGUGGAUCUAUGCAACAGAACUUGGAAGGUUGCGUGUCUUCUGCGAGGAGAUACGGCGCACUGGAGACCCAUGCAUUAAGUGAGAAGGAGGAGGAGGAGGACACACUGUUCGCGCACAGCUGAACGCCAUUGCUAUGGCCAGAACCAGAGCUUUAACUUACUACAAGGACAGUGAUCUUCGCAAUAGGCACAUCUAGUUUGGCAUGAUGCUCAAAAACUUCAAGCAAUGGAUCAAAAACUGACACUGCAGUAAGUCAGAGCAUUGUUCAGUCUCAUCUGUCAAGUCCAGAUGUAUGGUCUCUGGCCCUUCCAAACUUCUAUUCGUCUGCAGGGUGUGAGGUUUAUCCUCUUUGCGUGCUGUGCAAUCUUAAAGUCACAUUCCGGCGGCGCCACUUGCAUUUGUCAUAUUUUCUUUUCUUUUCAUCUCUUUUUUUUUUCUUUUUUUUUUUUUUUUUUCUCCUUCUUCUCCUGACGCACAACAUCUGUCCCUCUGUCUCUCUCUCUCUCUCUCUCUCUCUCGAUUUCUGGGUCAUAGAGGAGAGGUGCAGACAGGUCUUCUGUUCGGGGUGACAACCGAGGAAUGAGAUGGAGCAUGUGACUCUCGCUGCAUCGAAUCUUUUCGAACAGUCUACGAGAAUCUCGCAUUAGGGGGACGAACGGACGACGUGCAUCUUCAGGGACGUUUUCGUCGCGAUCUCCGACGUCUGCUUCGACGACGUCACCCUUGACUUUUACUUUUUCUCUUUGCCUUUUAAUAGUUAAGAAGUUUUUGCCACUUCUCUCUUUUGUGUUUGCUUCCUUCCUUUCCCUUUUAUUUUAUCUUUCGAAGAGAGGGAGUUUAAGGAAAUUAAUGAUGAUGAUAAUAAUAAUUGUGGUAAGAAUAAUAUCACAUAAUUGUGUGCCUAAAUAUGAUUAUUAAUAUGAAAAAAAUAAUAAUAAAUAAAUAACUUGAAAUUAGGAAUCCACUAAUUGUAGGUUGAUAAAAUAAAGACAAUCCUGAGUAAUUCAUUUUCAAAUUUAUUGAGGAUUUGAAUAAAAAGAAUAAAAAUAAAUUACUUUUAAAAAAUAAUAAUGUAUUUAUGAUUAAUUUAUUCAAAUUAUAUUAGAUAAAAGUAUAUAUAAUGGUAUUAAAUAUAAAAACAUAUAUAUAUAUAUAUAUAUAUAUAUGUCCUCAAUAAAAUCCGAAAUUUUAUUUUUUUUAUUGAUAAUAAUCUAUUAUAUAAUAUGCUUGUAAAUUUGAUUUUCUUUACUUUAGGAAAAAAAUUAAAAAUAAAACUAAACUAAGUUCACACCAAAUAUAGACAUAAGCCAAUGGAGCCACUUUUCAAACUAUUUUUUGAAGUUUUUUGAAUUGAAAAUUAUAGGUUAAAAUUAAUUUAAAAAAUAAUACUAAUAAUACUAAUAAUAAUAUAUGUAUAUUUUUAAUUUUUAAUUUUCUAAAAUUAAAUUUAAAUAUUAUUUAAUAUUAUUUUUGAAGAAAUUAUAUUAUUUCAUCUUAUUUUUAGUUAAAUUAUAUCACUUAGAUAUUAUAAGGCAUAAUAUAAUCAAUCAAUUUAUAAUGUUAUUUUCCACAUUUUACUAAAUAGUUACUAAACCAUAUUGCAAAAUUUAACAAAAUAUUUAUACACAAUUUAAUUUAAAGCCUUAAAUAAUUAUAUAAUAUAAUUUUUUAAUAUGCAAGUAUAAAUACAAAUAGAUAUAUGUAUAUAUAAUUAUACAUAUAUUAAGUCUUUGUACUUUUGCCAAUGAAAAAUAAGUAUGCUUUGGUAAGGCUUACAACCACACAUGAGCUUAUGUAAUCACAAAAUUUACAAGACUAUAAGAGUAUCAUCAAAGCUUCACUAUCACUAAGUGUGAUAUCCAUAUGCAUUAAAUAUUGCUUGCAAUCUUCAGGGCAUUUCAUUUAUCCAUUUAUUUAUAGUGACUUAGUCAAUGAGGUUUCAAUCUUCUUAAGGUGCUUCAAAAAAAUAUUGGGUAUCAUGAAGUCUCUUAUUUCUUUGCAUCAAAUAAUAUCUAAGGUGUUGUUUGAGAAUCAUCCCACAAUUCUCAAUUAAAUUGAAGUUUAGAGAAUUGGAUGGUAAAGAUAGUUAUGCAUAGCCACACUCUCUUUAGAUUCUUGUGUUUUCAAGCCAUUAGUGCCAUCUUGUUCUAUUUGCAACUAAGAAGAUAUGAUGCAUCUCAUUGUUUAAAAUACAAAUGAAAAGAAUAAAAUAAGAUUUGUACAAUUCUCAAGCAAAUUGCACAAUAUUAAGAUCAAGUCUAUCACAAGGAGUAACAUGCUCCAUCUUUGUAUUAAGGAUAUGAAUCUCGAAGAAAGGAAAUUCUCCAUACAAUCUUGUGUCAUUGAAGAAAACUAGAAAGUCACUCAAAAGGUGAUGUAAUAUUUAACUAGAAUGGCUAUUGCCAAAAAUAAGAAGACUAGAAAGUCUUGAAACAAGACUACGAACUAGAGAAGCAUUGACAAGAAUGAAGAAGGCUUCACUCUUGCCUCCUUAUAUACUUAUAAUUAGAAGCUAUGUAGCAAUAUCCUACACGACCUCCAAAACAUGUUGACUUUAUUAACCACAUGUCUUAACUUGCAAGGCAAGUUAUUUAUGUAUGUACCACAUAGUUAACUUAUUCCACAAGCUACUACACUAAGUUAACUUGUUCCACAAGCUACCAACACAUGGUUAGCUUGUUGUCCAAGUUUCUAACCUACAAACAUAUCUAAAGUCAAAACCGCAUCUAUGAAGCUUCUAGAAAGAUCUCUAAAAGACUUUAUGAAAUUAAUCUAUGUUUACAUACUUCUACCUAAUCAUAUAAAUAACUAUUGAGAUAAAUGUAUAUGUCUGUGACACUUUGUUAUCUUCUUCACUAAAUUAUCUUAUAACAGCCUUCUUUUGUAAAUACAUAUAAAAAUGUCAAUAUUUGCGGUCUCAAACUUGAAACUAGGUCUCAAAUUCUUCUUGUAUAGUUCUUCACCUUAAUAUAUAUAGACCUUCUUCCUUGUAGGACAUGGAUCAUAGACUAUAGUAGUCUUAUCAAUGAAAUAAAUCCUAGUCCAGUGCUCUAAAUUCUACUUACAAUAUCUAUGAACAAAUUCUCAAUGUUUUUUUUUUUUUUUUUUUUUUUGUCCUAAUGUCUUUUAGAAUUUCAGUUGGAUCACCUUGAAGUAGAAGCCACUAAUAGAAACAAUCUUGCAAAUGCUUGAAAAAAAAAACUCGACAUUUGCUUUUUUUGAAAUCUAUUGCAAAAAUAACCUAAAAUCCUCAUCUAUUACUUCUUCUACUAUCCUUCUCACAACUCUUGUAAUUUUUUGUAGAUGACCUUUGCAAGGAGCAACUUGUUGCAUAUGAUUGUACAUAUAGACAUACAUAUAAAUAUAUGCAAAUAAUUUUUUAAAUACAUAAGAAUUUUUUUAAAUAGAUAAAAAUAAAACUUAAAAACUUAAAAAAUUACUUCAUUUUUAUGUAUAUAAUAAUUAAAAUUUUAUAUGUAUAAUAAAAAAAAUUAUACCAAUUAAACAUAAUAACAUUUGGAUGAAUUGUAUCAAUAACCAUAUCAAAUUGUUUUUAUCAAACUUGGUACCAAGUGCAUAUUUCUUAGAUCUAUUGCAUUUAUCUAAACAAUAUAAGUUCAUUUUUAGCAAUCCAAGAUUAUCAUCAAAAAUUAAAAUAUUAAGUUUUUUUAAUAAAAAAUUCUUUAUUAAAACCUAGAAAAUUUUCCAAGAGGAAACAUGGAUGUGCUUGAAUCUUCAACAAACAAACAAGACUAUGUCAUUGCAGGGACGUAAUAAUAAUAAGACAUAAUAAUAACAAGACGCUCAACACUUGCAAGGACCAAAAGAGGACCUCAUGAAAGAGCUAAUAGUUGGAGAAGAGGUGCACCAGGAGAACUCAACGUUUUUAUUAGUGAAUAUCCUCUUGUGCUCCCACACUUGUUCUCAUUUGUAGGCCCACCGAUGCAACUUCAUUAGAGGUGAACAGAGAAGGUUAGGACACAAGGUCAAGGUCAGUAAUAGAAAUUCAUGGCUGAGUCAGGAACAAAAAAACAGACUAAAGGCAUGAAAUUAGGGUUUCGGUUUGACCCAUAAACUCUGACGCAAUCAGUUGUCACCAUGUAACACUUCUUCAGCACGUCAGUCCCAGUUUACCCUAAUCGUUUGACAUCGGUGCUGUGCAAAACGCUCUCGCAUGUAUCGAUAUCCAAGAUCUGAAGAUGAUGACCUCAGAGCGUGCAUCAUCUUGGGAGUAAGACCUCCAUUUACUUUACAAGAAACCUGUAUCUCGUUUCACUGUAAGCUGACCCACUUGACGAUGACGAUGACGAUAGAGAGGCGUAAGUUGAUAGAUUUCGGAUGAAUCUGCAGUACAAAUUAGCACCCUAGGGUGUGAUCUACGCUCAAUUGCAGUUUUGUGUUUUUCUACCAACUCAACAUCUUUCAGCAACGACCAUGGUGAUGGCGAAGAUGACUGGAUUGCUUGGUUUUCUCGUGGCCUUGGUGAUGGUGGUGAGCUCUGGCGCCCAAGCAGCGCGUUGCUCACCCCAGUUCCCUUUGAGCUGCGCAUCAUAUGUUCUUGACGGUCGGGCGGUACCUUUGAAAACUUGCUGCAUUGAGCUCCAGGACAACUUCAAGAUACUCGACCCCAAAGCAAGCUUGAAGCCGUAUUGCGAUGCCAUCGUAGGAGUGAAGCUUUUCAAUGGACCCUUAGCUGGAAAUGAGCUGAACUUGGCUCUCAACCUCCCCAACAAAUGUGUCCUAAGUGGCCAAUACAAGAAGGGCCAAACAUGUGCUGGUAAGUGGCCUACUCUUCAUUUCCUUUGCCCAUUGCAUCCUCUUCUGCAAUCUCCGCAAUGUAGAUGCUGCUUGCAACUUUUCGCUACCACUGAACCACACCUGAUGGUCACAACCGAAACUUAGCCUCCAGAGUGUUCAUCUCCUCAGCGACAAUUUGCUUGUGCGUAGUGCUUUUUCCGGAAUGAUAUAGCAUGAUUCUAUUGUCAUCUCCAUCAUCGCCGCAAAGACUGGUGAAGGCCAUGACUGGUUCAUCAAUCUGGGUUGUGUUGUGCAGGCAAACCUUUUCCAGGAGGCAGCUAGACUUAUCCAGCGAGAGCUCAAUCUGCAAAGCCUGCUGCUCUCUUUGCAUUUACAACCAUCUGGCAGAGAGCAGUGGCUUGCGGCGAAGGAUAUCUGCUGCUGAAAUGAUUGCAAUGCCAUACUUGCAUAGGUUCGAGAGUAACGUAGCUGGAUAACCAAAGGUCUCGAACGGGAAAUGGCGAUAUAAAGUUUUGGUGACUUUUUAUCGUUUUUGUUGAAUCUAUCGCCCAAUCGUGUGAUUUGCUUCAUCGGUGUUGGUUGUCUGUUGAUAAAUCUGCAACUGCGUCUUGUGGUCUGAUGUUGCUCAGUAUUGUGAUGGUCGGAAUGGUGGCGAUUUUGCUGAGUGUUGACCCACUUCUUGUGAGUUAAGAGCUGAGGUUCUCAUCUUGAACAAACAUUCUUUCCGAGGGCAAUAUCCUACUCCUGUAUUUAUCCAUUUGCACUGUAUUUAUCCAUGGAAAAAUCUAAGUUAGAAUUACAGCUGUAGUUCAAACGAAAAGUUAAAGAAUGUAUACGUUGUGUAGAAGUAGAACACAGUACUGAUAUUAAAAUUGUGAUGUUUAAAUACAAUCUUUCCUUGUUCGUGUUGCUAAACUUCACCACAGUGGCCGAGAACAUGGAUUGGACCUAGAUUGUUCCAGGUAAUGCAGUUGUUUCAGCGACACAUGUAUUCCGACAUACUGCUAAUGUUGUAUUACUGAUCUGUGGUUGUACAUUUCUAAACCAAUCAAAAACACACUUCAAGGUUCAAUUCAACAUGUGUGUGACACUCUUCUCAGUGUGACGAAAUAUGCACGUAGGGAAAAAGUCUCCGGUUCCUUCGGUGUUUGGGCUCCAGAAGACAAUCGAUUCCUGUGUUGGUUGCCUUGCGAGUUUUCGUUAGCUGAGUCUCCUUCUAAAAUUUUGCAUCCAUAUUUCAAGCUUAUGGCUGAGUUCUUCACUUAUAUUAACAAACAACCAUCAUCUACAUACAUCAGCCAAGCACCAGUAAAUCAACUACUUAGCCAGACACUGGUAAAGUUCUAUAAUCAAGGAUUAGAUUAUUGCAUUGACAUCAUCGCAGAGAAGGAUAAUGGUCUCAGUCCAGCUACAGCAGAAAUCUAAUAGUUGUCUGCAAAAACUCUGCCCAUCUUGACACUCAAAAGACAGAAUGGAUAGAUAUAUUUGUGCGUGUGUAGAUAUAUACUUACAUAUACAUAUAUAUAUAUAUAUAUAUAUAUACAUGGAGAGAGAGAUAGAGGGAGGAAGAGAGAAGGUGACAGACGUCUCUCUUUCAAAGCGAAUGUGCAGAGAAGUAAGGCCGCAAAAAACUGAAAGUACCUGCACGCUGACUUUUCCACCUCUACUGGACUCUACGGUUCGUAUCUGGCAUUUUAUUUCUGGAAUUGACCAUGAACCAAUUAUCCUAACAGAAAUGAGGAAAAUGAUGCAAGUACAUGAAAACACAAAUAGUUCCUAAAUAUAUAUAUAUAUAUAUAUACACAUACAUACAGGCAGUUUGGGAGUUGUGAGCUAUAAGCAACGUCAUUUUACUGUCUAAAAAGCGGCGGUUAAGUUUACAGUGACGAAAAUGCGAACCUUACAUAUUUGACUGAAAUACCCUCUCAAAUGCAACUGAACACUAUGAGAAUAAAGUUAAUGAACCUAUGAUGGCGAUCCACAACAUGAAACACGUAAAGGUUAAACUAAAUGCAUAGCAAACGCUGUGGCAUUCAAAAGCGCUGGUGAAGCAAAGGCGAGGUCCCAGUAAAAGGUCAAUGAGAUAACACAGAGAGAGCUCAUUUGUGUUUUCUGCAAUAGUCUGAAGUUCAUGACCUACUUCAGGAACGUCAACAUCUGGUCUAUGGGUUCUUUCACAGUCCAAGGUUUAAUGAAACACUGAACUUCUAAUUCGAAAAAAGAGUGCCAGGCGCUGCAAUCACUGCUCUGGCUGCUUCAAUGUAAUUUUCUCAAGCAGCUUCGCGUAUUACUUCGAGUGUAACAACGAUAUCAGUCGCUGGUCUUCCUUCAACCAGACGCAUCACGCAUUCCGACAGGCGCAUCAGAAGUUUCCUCCAAUAUACAACAAUUCCACAAGAGUCUCACACAGACCUUCACAAUCCCAUCCUACUUCUCAACACACCUUUUCAAACCGAUCCAACCUGUAAAGACACAUACAACGAAUACAUGACUUGAAUGAAUUCGAACCCCGACUUGCAGAACGACUCAGGCCAUAGCAUUGAGAAGUCACAGAAUGUGAGCCUUCCGAAGGCGGCGAUGGCGACCUAAUCGAGAGCUAGCUGGAAAGAUGAAGGGCACGGCAGAGACGAGAAUACAGAGGGAUUAGUUUGCAAGACGACUGCACUUCGCAGGGGGGGAAAAUGAAACUACACGAAUAUACAUUCCAGCCCUUACCAAUUUCAUUAUCCACCUGCAGAUGAAAACCACUUGAAAGCAUCGUUUGGACAAGCAAAGAUUAUCGUAAGAUUGUGCAAUUACGAAGCAGGAAGUUGGAGCCUAAGGAAUGAGUUGAAUGCGAUGUGCAUCGCAUGGACACGAGAAAAACUGGAGAAUAAGAUUUGCCCGACAUGGAUUUUAAAAGCGCAGACCAAAACUUGCAAAUCCAGGAUUCUGAAAAGAGCAGAUGCUCACAUUUAGUCAAUGCGAGCCGCUUCAAUUGUGCAGUAAGACUGUUUCACUCCAGUUGCUCAAAUCAAUGAGAAAUAUGCACCGACACAAAGACCUUAAAGAACCCCAGACAUUUGCUUAAUUCUCACUACUUAAGAAAUGAUGAAAAAAGAAUAUCCAACAGUCUAACAUGAGCUUCGUCAAACCCCCUGUAACCAAUGUAAACUUUUCCAUCCACAAAACCAUUUCUACUGUUUCUUUCAAUCCAUCAAGAUUUGGGAAGAAUUGCAUCCUAUGCAUUUGGAAUGUAUAAUUGAAUAGUUCUAUUGAACACUCUCAUUAAAAUUCAGAAGGAUUCCAGUGUAUACGAUUGGAAACUGACACUACACUUACAGGAGAAAAUUUUGAACUUGUGUAGUAAGAAAAUUAUUUGGUGAGGUAUUCGCACAAGAGAUUGGAUGAUCAGAAGAUGCACACUUUCAGAUUUUAUAUUGAAAUAUCUAUGCUACAAUGGUGUCACAUUCAUGUGCGUAGGUAUUAAACAUGCGCAUCUUCAGAUACACUCGAAAACUACGAUUCAUGCAACAUUGUUCAGUCACUGUUCGAGGUAUGCUCGGUAGAGUAUAUUGUCUACCUACAACACAACAAUCAUUCGAUUUUCAAUGCAUUAUAGUGGAUAUCGCGGCUGAAUGUAACAUUUCCCGAGGAAUCUAGACUACUCUGUUUACUUAAGUUAUUUGCGCUUCAAGUAUAUUCCAUGAUCGGAGUAGUGAAUCAUUGCCAGAGGAAGAGAACUUGUUUACUUUCCACCUCCUUCAUCUACCUGGUAGGGUCUACAACGGGGAAUAUUGAUCAGUUGCCACGCAGCUAAUAUCAGGACAUCAUGACGAGGGGAGUGUAAGCUUCACAUCAGCUCGAUUGGUCGGGUGUAUCGAAAAUACUAAGUGAUCUGGUUCUCAUUUAGACACUAUUUACAUGAACACUUGUGGCUAGGCAUUUAUAGCGAGGAAUUUAUAGCGAGGCAUCACAUACAGUAAUAGAGGAGGAAAGUGCCCGUCGGUAUUAGACCCUUCAAUAAUCUUAUUAUGCAUGAAACCUUCCCGUUUAUUCAUAUAAGAUUCCAAAGAGGAAUUCCAUGGCUUCGUUUUUAGAAUUUUGUGGAUUAACCAGCAUGCCCUAGCAUCAAAACCAGAACUGCCAUGCCCAUUCCACAAACAGACACUAGUACAGGUACCACGAGGGGCUAUCCUACUUUAGGAACAGUAAAGGACGAUCCCUUGUUCUGCACUGCAGAAAGAUCACAAAAACAAAUAACAAGUAACAGGUCUAACAUAGUCGCCACCAACGCGACCUGCAGGCAGGUCCAACGACCCCCACAGCAAAGACGGUCAAAUCUCGGGUGGCUUUCCCAGUGAACAGUUGCAUCUCUCCCGGCCGCAAACAGUAUCAUCCUUCAGUGUCUUCCCCUUCGUCAACCUCCUCGCAGUAACCUUCUCACCAGUAACCCAAACCCAGAACCGAGAUUUCGAGCAAUAGAGCCGUCAGAUCUCAGUCCCGGAGUGCUUCCCAAAACCACCAGAGGUUUCAACCACCUUAACGGCUUCAGUACUCGGGUUGGCGGUCGUUCCUCCAGUUCCCAGAGCUGGGUCCUCCACGGCCACCGUAGCCGCCACCACCACCGCCUCCGUAGCCUCCACCACGGCUUCCUCCAUAACCACUACCUUCACGGUCACCUCCUCCACGGCUUCCACCGUAACCUCCUCC
This 59241-nucleotide long non-coding RNA is filed under the name Physcomitrium patens. Its description in RNAcentral is "long non-coding RNA (PPAT_LNC004628)". The record is from RNAcentral. Lineage: Eukaryota; Viridiplantae; Streptophyta; Bryopsida; Funariales; Funariaceae.